UGUAUAUGUAUAUUGAAAGUGUUCAUUUAGAGCAGUUAAAUUUCUAUUAUGAAUCUCUCUUGGACUCAUUAUCAAUUCCACUUCAAAUAAAAAUAUUAUAUAAGAGCCCGAAUCUUUACUGUACAGGAUGAUCGAUUUGCAUAUAGAUUUCUCAAUAAACUUAUCAAUUAACACAACUGCAAGACGUUUAUCCAUAAAUAGUGCACAACCAUAGCAAACAGAAAGAGGGAAUUGAAUGCAAACAAGAACCCUGGAAAUCUCUAAAAAAAGAAUAGAGUUACUGGAAGUUAACCGGGGUUUAGACAAAAAAGAAAUAAAUUUUGGUAGAGAAAUGAUGUGUCAAUUUUUAGAAUCAUUAGAUUAAAUAAAGAGCACAGAUUUUAUAAAAUUUAACUAAUUUCACACACUCCUCACUUUAGAAGAGUCGGAUCCUAUCAAAUCGGGUACAUGUAAUACAAAAGCAUGAUGAAAGACAUACAUUAAAUAGACAACGAUCCUGAUUCACAAGUAGGAACCAUCUGUAAACAAACACGAACACAAAUAGCAAUAAUCUGAAAGAUUGCAGGCAACAAAAUCGACUGUAUAUUCAUCUGGUUUACUAUUCUGGGUACGUAACAAGAACAAGUAUUUGUCAUUUAUGGGGUAUAUAUGUUUCUCAACAACCAAGCAUAAAACCCUGGAAAAUGAAUGAUGAUAUAAAACGAAGGAACGUGGAGCUAUUUACAAGUAGUUUUCAGUAGUAGAUUAGAGGAGAGCCCCAAGCUAGAAGGACCACAAGUGAAGUACGUACCCAGCUAUUUCCGGGUCGGAUGACUUGGAUCCUCCCUACAUCUUUGUCUCACUAGCUUAGUUAUGGCUUACUGGUUCAUACAAAUGGUGGUUAGGUACUGUGCUAACUACCACUGCCAGUGCGACAAUCUUGUAUUAUAUCAUCUCUAUGUAAGCAUGACAGGUAUCCUAUUAUAUACAAGUCCAAACUGCAUUAUGCAAUUUCUGGUUACAUGUAUAACCAUGUUGAUCUUAUUGUCUCUCCACGGCUGCUGCAAUCUAUUAUUGCAGUUACAUAUUCAUGAGGCCUAUACGAUGAAUUUCACACGUUUGAUUUGUUUGCUUCGUUGUAUGUUGCUUAAUUAGCUAGUUUGAUUAAGCACUGUGGAUAUUGGAAUAAGCAUCAUUCAAGAAAAUAGUAAGAACAUAUGAGAUCCAGUACUUAAUCCAAUAAUAGAAUAGAGUGUGAGCAAUUACAUACCUUUAUAACCUCUUAUAUUGGCUUCUGAGUACCACCGCCGGCUAAGGUGGUCAUGAUACGGUGGAAAGGAUGGUAACCUAGCUUCAAAGCCACCUUCUACAUGCACCUUGGGGUAUGUGACACUUAUUGACACCACCCAAAGAAUGAAGACUCACCAAUAAGAGUGUAUAUAUAUUACGGACAUAACCGAAGUGAAUCUUUUAGAUUUGUGCACUGAUUUUAAUCUUUUUAGACGCACUUUGAAUACAAUUGUCACUACAUAAUUCCAUACUUAAAUUUUUGUUUAUACAACAAUGCAAAUACUCAGUGUAGUUUAGUCAUUUAAAUUCCAUAACCAUUCACAUAUCAUCGUCAUUGAAGAUUUCACGUAAUUGGCGAUGAAAGUUAGCGUAGAAAAUGUGAAGUCCCAAAAGAAAAAGGAACAAAAGUACAUAAUUCCACACUUAAAUUUUUGUUUACACGAUAAUGCAAAUACUCAGUGUAAUUUUAGUCAUUCAAAAUCCAUAACUAUUCACAUACGUGUAGAUAUACAUCGUCAUUGAAGAUCGAAGAGGAGCGUAGAAAAGGUAGUCCCAAAAGAAAAAGGAGCAAAAGUAUAAGCCCACAGACCACAUAGGCCUGAAAGUGUCAGUGUUGGGCCUCGCUCCCGUAAGAGAAUCGCGGGCUUAAACCAAGAAAAGCAAAAGCGUGCGAAAAAUAACGAUGAGGUGGGCCCCAGCCAGCGAGCGAGCGAGUAGAGGAGAAAGGAGGGUGGUCGUCUCCUUCGUCUGCGAUUCCAUUCCUUAACCACUACACAAAAACACCGCGUCAGAUACCAAUCAUCACAACACCUUAAAUCCUCCUCUCCCUUCGAUUCAAUCACAGCAGUCAGGUACUACCCGACCCGAUCCGAUCACAUAGUUUCAUUCGGACCUUCCGAUCCACCGCCAUGAGCUUCAUCUUCGGCAAGCGCAAAACUCCCGCAGGUUCGCAAUUUUGUUAUAGCUUUUCAAUUCGUUGAAUUCACAUGAUUUCUGAAGCUAUUCAUGGAAUUAUUGCACAAUAUCAAAUAUUUAAUUCCUUUAGUUAAAUAUUUCAUGAUUUCUUUGGUUUAUAAUUUGCUGUAUCGAAAUACGAAGUUGAUAGUUUGAGUUUUGUGGCUCGCAAAUAUGUUGUUCAGGCAGAUAGUACUGUUUUUUUGUUAAGGUUAGGGUUUUCGGAGCUGAAAUUGUAAUAUAUGCAUUCGUGUGACUUUUGUGAUUUCAGAACUGUUGCGGGAGAACAAGAGAAUGCUGGAUAAAUCUAUUAGGGAAAUAGAGAGGGAGAGAGGAUCGCUUCAGGCGCAAGAGAAGAAACUGAUUGCGGAGAUUAAAAAGAGUGCUAAGCAAGGCCAGAUGGUAUGUUCUUCUCUUUUCUAUUGAUUUUCGCUUUGCUUUCUGGCAAUGGGAGUUUUAGUGUCUUGUGGCUGAACUACUUUUGACCGCUUGGUGUUGCCUAAUUGUCUCUGUCAGAGAGUUUUACGGCUCAACAUGUUAGCUUGAUGGUCAAGUUUCUCAACUGGUUUUUCAUUUGUUGAAUUUUGUUUCAGGGAGCUGUCAGAGUUAUGGCAAAAGACCUGGUUCGAACACGGCACCAGAUUGAAAAGUUUUAUAAGCUUAAGUCACAACUGCAGGGUGUAUCUCUCAGAAUCCAGGUAUGUGUCCUACAUUCCGUAAUGCAUGCCUUGAAUGUAUCUGAAUAAUAUAUCGUUUGGAAUUCGUACACCGUCGUUAUGUGGCAUGAAUGGUGUGUUCUUCUUUGUUGGUAGUUGGUGUGAGGAAUUGAUUAUUUUUUUAAUGUUUGUUUUUUCUUUUCAGACACUGAAAUCAACUCAAGCGAUGGGAGAGGCAAUGAAGGGGGUGACAAAGGCAAUGGGCCAGAUGAAUAGACAGAUGAACUUGCCAUCACUACAGAAAAUUAUGCAAGAAUUUGAGAGGCAAAACGAGAAGAUGGAAUUGACAACUGAGGUGAUGGGAGAUGCAAUUGAUGAUGCUUUGGAAGGAGAUGAGGAAGAGGAGGAAACAGACGACCUAGUUAACCAAGUUCUUGAUGAAAUUGGUAUAACUGUCAAUCAAGAGGUAAUCAGCACUCGUAUGCUUUUCUCUUACAAAAUAAAAAUGGUUUUGAACAGUAAUAACAGUAUCUUGUGUUUUCAUUCAUUGCAGCUUGUUAAUGCACCAUCAGCCUCUGUGGCUGCACCAGCUGCAAGGGGCAAGGUUGCACAAGUGGAAGCAGCUGCACCUGAUGACGGUGGGAUAGAUAGCGAUUUACAGGCAAGGCUAGACAAUUUGAGAAAGAUGUAGUCUUCAUAUCUUGUAUAUACUUAUAUUGUUGGCAUAGUGUGAAAGGUCAGAUUUCCUUUUUGGCCUUGUAAUAUCUGUGAAAAUUAUUCAAGAAUUUUUCGGAUCAGGAUAUGAGAUAUGCAGAUUCUAAUAAAAUUACAUUUGGUAAAUAAAUCUUUACUCGGAGAUGCCGAAAUGGUAAUGCAGGUUGUAGGUAUGUCCUAAUUCACUGGUCUUUUGAAUGCUUUGUCAAUCUGUUUGAUUAUGCAUUGAUCAGAAUACUGUUAAGUGUCGUUUGUGAGCACAGGAAAUCAGAGUUCUGUCGUUCUUUUUGAGUGUGCAUUAGAACGAAGACGGAUCCAAAGGUGAAUGCCAAGGAUUAUAACAUGAUCGGGGAUGUGCAAUUCAUAGUGAAUUUGUAUAUUUACAAUGCUUUAUAACGAAGAAUCGUCUUUUUAACAAUAGAAAGCCAGUAGUAUAAACUCACAAUCUUCAUAACUGAGACGAUUGAAGUUGAGAGCAGACCAGUAGUAUAAACUCAAAAAUUCCGUAUCAUAUACAAGUGGGCAGACCUUGCCGGAAAAAAUUAGGAAAAAUGUUACCCUCUGUCCCCUAAUCCUUGUUUUCUUCCAUGAAUUCCUUGUUAUCACCGUCCUCAUAUCACAAAGUGACAAACCAACAAACACCAAAACCCAAUUUUUCCUCCUCCACCUUUUUUUUCCCUUUUUCUUUUUUCUCUCGGAAAGAAACGAAAAGACCUUAAACUGGCAAACUUGCGCUGCCGCUGGAUACCAGCAGGACUUCUCUGGAAUGCUCCUCCGGCGUAGCAGAGGGUAACUCUCGGUGGCACCAUGAAACGACCGGCACAGUUGCCCGGCAGAGCGGACAAUCGGAGUGAGAGUAGAGCCACAUAUCUAUGCAAGGAGCAUGAAACGAGUGCUUGCAGCUUGGCAACUUCCUUACCUCUUCUCCAUCUUCAAAUACUGACAAGCAAACUGCGCAUUCAUGAUCGAUCACUACUUGACCUUGUUCUUGAGCAACUGACCCCUCCUUCUGUUUCUUGUACUUGAAGCUAUCCAAGUUCUCAAAGCUCCUGCUCCUUGCUGACCUUGCAGCCUCAACGAAAGCGUUGGACCGUACAUUUCUUGGUGGUGAUGGUGGGCGGCGCGGUGGAGACCAUUUGAUGAAGAUGAGAUUGUACAUGGCUAGAACAAUAGCGGCAGUUCCAACAACUAUGAGGCCAUAAUACAACAUAGGCAAGCUGGUGGCUUUGGCCGCCGAAGGUGGAGGAGGCGGCGGCGGAAAAUUGGGGUUCGGAUAGGGAGUUGGUGCCAUGUAGAAACCCAUGCUUGGGUUUGUGGAAAUGAUCGACAUGGGAAAGUUAUAGAGACCAGAGAGGAGGGUUUGAGUUUGAACUUGGUUUUCUGAAUUCUAUAUAUCAUUUGGGAUUAAACUAACAAGAAGUAGUUAAUCAGAAAGCCGUGGUGGUCAUGUUGUUGUAGAAUAUAAACUUGUUUAUGAUUGAUGGUUUGGAGAAUGAUUGAAUGAAGACAAAGCAAAACACAAUGACAAGAAACCAGAGACGAAGGUUGGAUUGGAUUGAAUAUAUUGUUGAUAAGAAUUCACUAUCUCUAGUCGACCCUAUGCUUGACUUGGAGCAGAAACAAAUAAAUAAAAUACAUAAUGCUAGCUCUUAUCGAUGACUUGUAUGUACUAAAAACAAAUUAACUCAUUCGGCAAUUGUUUUAUUCACUAGUUCUCUAUGUACAAAAAGCUUAGAAGUUUGCAUAAAUUGUUACCAUUUCUGAUAAAUGACCUGAUCUUUUUUUCUUUUCUUCCUUUUGGAAGAGGGGAAAUUUAAGCUGCCUCAAAGCUAGCCCAAUGGACUGAUAAAGUAACUAACCAGUCUAAUGGACAUGCCCAAACAGACACAUACUACAAAGAGAACAAGAGAAAAUUAAUUUUCUCCUGACUCCACAAGAGAUCAGAAAAUUAAUCCCUAAAAUAAUAAAAACUAAUACAUAAGCCCAAAAAGGGCCCAAAUCCACUACAGAAACCCUAGUCGCCGCCAUCCAGAUCGCACCGCGAGCAACACUGCCAACACAUCGUUGCUAAAUUACCUGAUCUUAAGUUGGGUACUUGCAUGGGUUUGUUGGAGUCUCAUCAGUCUAUACAAUUACCAAUUUCUUGUGGGAGUGAAAUAGUUUGGCAAACCCAGCAUAGUUACAACACAAAACAUAAUAUGUAUAUGAGAGUGAUACAAUCAUUUUCAUUUUUGAAAAAAAAAAAAAAAAACAAGUAUUUGAUCUCUAAAUUACAAUACAUAAAUGUGUUGAAUUAUAGAAGGAUAGAUUUCAAUUAGAGCUCCUUAAACCCAAGCCCAAAUGCAAUUCUUGCUUCCUUUUUCCUCUAGCUCAAACUCUCAAAAUCCAAAUGAGACUCGUCUUUUGCUCAAUGUCUUCCCCACAAGUUCCACCCCACCUCCAUCUAGAUUUUAACAACCAAUAGAAAAUAAGUGUAGAUCGAUUGAUUGAUUUCAUAUUCAACUAUACAACAAUACCCAUAAGCCAUUCAAGUAGGAGUAGCACUAACAAGAUGGAACCUAGUAAACAAGUAGAAUAUUUCUCUAAGCAAUAAUAUGAGCUAUAGGUGCUGGUCACUUUGCCUAUGCUUAUAAUGGUUUCUGAAACAGAUUAGUUAGAUCACAUAGGAUAGAGUUAUUUUUUUGACCAAAAUUUUGAUGACUUCAAAAAUAAGCCUUAUAUCAUAUGUUUCAAGAAUUUGACCCUUAAUCUCUUUAGCAAACCAUAUUUAUCAUCGUAGAAGUACAUCAUGACCAUUGUUAAUUUUUUAGUUUCCUCUAACAUCUUAAUUAAAUAAGUUGAUUGAACACAUUAUAUUUAAAAUUAUAAUACAUAUAUAUAAACUCCUAAAGGAAACAGUUCACUUCCAUGCAUUUAUAGUUAGUUAUCAUCAUCUCAAUGUGAGAGUCGACGACACACAUUUGCUUAACCACUGCAUUUUCAUGAAAUGGUAGAAACUAUAACUAUAGUGUGACUACACAUCAGAAAAACAAAAACAAAAAAACAAAAAAAAACCAUAGUGUGACUACAAACCAUAUCCUUUUUUCUUCCUUUCUUCUAAGAAAAAACUUUUUGUUAAGUUUCCUAAUGAAGUGGGGAAUGGGGAUACUAAUUAACAGAAGAAUAGAAACUAGCAAACCAUAUCUUUUUAUGAAACGAAGUCAUUAUACCAGACUGAUUAAUAGAGCUGACCUGAUGGACGUUCUAUAUAUACAUACAGGAACUCCUUCAAGCACCAUCUAUGUGUUUGUUUUGUUUCUACUUUUUCUUUGGUUAAUUUACAAAUAUGGAUAGCUGCAGAAGACAACAAAGUCAAGGUGAUCAUGAAGCAACUUAUGAAUCGCAAAGGAACACAAAGCCAUUGAGUUUGCCUUUCUGGGACCAGAAAUUCUGUUGGACGGUUGGCAAUGCUCCAUGGGGAAAGCUCUUAGAGACGAAGAAGAAUAUGCACCUUUACAAAAACAUUGUGCAAUGGAACGACUCUGUAGCUCAAGACGCAUUCACUGAUGCAAAGAAUCGGUUCCUGGAUAAGGUUGACGGCCUUCCUUGCUACAUAGCGUUGCCUGAUUCUGAUGCUUACAUUGAUGAAAUAGAUUGGAGCAACUCCAGAACUAGCAUCAAUCCCGAACCAGUUUCGGAUCCAUCGGACGAGUCUGGGGAGCAUUCUGGAGAUGACAAUAGCAGCGUAGAUAAUGAAGAUGAUGUUGAUCACAAGGAAGCAGCAGACAUAGCAGGAUUUGAGAACGAUGCUUGGAAUAAGCUGGAUCACAAAAUGUUGCAAGAACUGAUGAUGGGUUUAAUGUUGGAGAGUCCAUUGUGGUAAACAAGAAUGAUGUUAUUUUUUGCCCAUAGCAUAAGUACGUAUUUCAUUGGAUCCUAUUUUAUUCGUAAACAAUAUAUCGUUAGUUGAACUUGUAGAAUAUAAUGUCAGCUGUUACAUUUUGUUUGUUGAUUUGGUAAAAAACUGUUUUUAGUCUAAUUUUGUUUUCAUCAUAACAACGGUUUAGUCUGUGUUUGAGGUGUUUUCCCUUCGUUUCCUACGUCGAAAACUUGAUUAAUUUACUUUAAUAUUCUCACAAGUUUCCUUUCAAAGAGAGGAAAGGAGAAAAAUAGAAACUAAACCACCAAACGCCGUAUCCCUUUAGGAAUAGGAAAUCCAAAUAGCAAAGGGAUUAAUAGAAAUUAAACCCACCAAACGUCGUAUCCCUUUAGAAAUAGGAAAUCCAAAUAGCAAAGGGAUUAAUAAACCGACAUGACCGUUCUGAGCGUUUUUAUAAAAAGCAGCCACUCACAUUUCCUGCAAUUCAUUCGUCUCAUCGGAUCUAUUGAGAGAAACCAAUCUAAACUCUAGGGUUCUUCCGCUUACCUCUCAUCACAACUAUGGGUAAGAUUCGACGUCCACAAGUUGCUUCCAAGCCACCGAAAGACAGUUGGGAAGAGCAACUCUACUUGUCUGUAGGCAAAGAGCUAUGGAAGAUGCUGACAGACUCCAACAACAAGUGCGUAUAUCUCUUCCCAAACGUUGCCCGGUGGAACGACUCUGCGGCAAAAGAGGCUUUCGACGAUGCAAAAUGCCGGUUCUUGGCAAAGAUCAAGAAGGCUCCAUGCGACGUGCCGUCGCCGGAUCCCGAAGCUUAUAUUGAUGAAAUAGACUGGAGCGACGAUGCCAUCCCGGAACUGGAUGAGAGUAUUGAAUGGGGGAGUGAAGGUGAGUUUGGUCUUGAGGGUUUUGAGGUGAUUGAUCCUUCGUUUUGCGUAGGAUGGGGGCCGGAUGAGUGGUACGAGACAAAGAAGGAGGAGGAGGUGAAGGAUUCCGACAAAGUAAGAAAAGAGUGGGAGGCUUAUUGGGAAGCGAAAGCAGCGAAGGCGGUAGGAGGCGGAGGAUGGGGGAAGAGUGGUGGAAGGAACUCAUCGUCAAGAUGUUGCACCCCGAGAUGUGGCGAUGGUUAUUCAUUUGGGCAGAGGAAAGUUUAUAGGGAGAAGAUCAUGAAAACCUAGCCUGCUGCAUGCAGUGGAACUUCGAUGGUGUCAGUAUCGAAUAAAACUGUAGGCCUGUCCUCCAUCGCUAUUGUUGUUAGGGUUUAGCUUGGUUUGGAAUAAGGGCUUUGACGUUCUUGAAAUUUUAUGUACUAUUAUCACAAAGAUUUAUGAUCAUGUAAUAUGUUAAACAUUUUUUAUUUUUUUGGUCAAAUUGAUGUUAAACAUAUUUUCGAUGAGCUUUGAUUCUGGGUCACAAAUAAUUAUUAUUUUUUCUUGUUUAGACAACCUACCAAUGAGUAUAGGUUAUUCCACCACCGAUCCACGUCUAAAACGUGAGUUAUUUUUCACUGUUGGAAGAAUAAAAUUACACAAAGUCCUCAAUAAUGUCAAUGAAACUAUAUAUAGUAAAUGUCGGUAAGUAUUAUGCAGUUGUUGCUCAUGCCUAAAACCAGCAUAUUUUUCACGUAUAAAGCCUGCAGAAUUACGUUAAACAUUUAGAACAUAAUUCACGUUACAUUGCAAUUGAUACGAAAUAAAGUUGUUUUUAACUCGGAAAAAGUUACGGGAUUGAAAUUGGCACCCCAUUUUCAAACAACACAUUCGAUUUUCGCGAUCUGAGAUGAGUUUCUAUUCUUGUGCUGCUAAGGCCUGAAGGUCCUAACUCAGGUCCAAACUACCCCGGUACACGUGACAUAAUUGGCUUACAGCAUCACAAUCUAAUUAAACAUGUGGUGGCCGGAUUAUUGAUUAAUAUAUUGAAGGUGAACUGGUGAAGACCUUGAAUUGGAAACAGAUCGAGGCUGCCAUACAUGGGAUGAUAGGCUGGCUGCGCCGCCUACAGUGCCACCAACCAAUCCUUCCGGCCAAAUCUUUCAUAUAAAAGUUUCAAAUUAACGUUUCUAUAGUACUGAUCUGUUUGUACCUUGAUCCUAGUCGAUAAUUUUAUAAUGAAUUUCUUGUAUUUUUCGCAAAAAUAUUGAAAAAAACCAUUCUUAAGGUUCGUUUGUGUUCUAUCUAUAUCUUGUGGUGAAGACAACCAAGUCUUUGAUGGGUUUUUUGUGUUGUGCAAAAAGUUACUAUUUACCACAACAUACACGAGUUAACUGAUUCAAUCCGAUUUGGAAAGUGCAGACAUAUAUGGAUGCCAUUCGCCAAAAAAAAAAAAAAAAAAGACAGAUAUGGAUGCCAUGGUAUAGAAUCUUGAAUUAUGAAUCAAUCAUACAGACGGAUCCAUCCAACUUUUUUAUAAAUCCAAGAGUGGUUGCAUCAGCUAGCUCACCCACAUUCCUCAGAUACCCACAUUACGAUAUAACUACUAGAUCAUGAUCAUAUUUUAAACACAAAUCUCUGCAACUAGUGCCAUAAUUUGUUCAUAAUGUUACAUAUUAACCAAAUUAAAAUAUAACAACAGACAGUGCUGCAUCUAUGUAUGCUUCACCUCUGAGUCUCUGACCACUUCUAAUUUUGUAAUCCAAAUGUUUCUGAUACCAAUUAUUACUUUAAAUUCCAUGUAUCCUUGUUGGGUUCUUGUUGGACUUGUUGAAGCAAAGUACCAAUCUCCCCUUUCUAUUUUUGGCUAGUAAUUUUCGCGCGGCUUAAAUAUUAAACCCGGGAAGAAGAAGCACAAAACCGCCAUGGAAGAACCGUCUAGUUCUUCCUCUCUGUCAGUCUCUGGUCAACUAUUUACACCUUCAACCACAAGUCCAACUUGCCCAGAAAUCUAUACCUAUAAAACCAUUUAAUUCCUCCUCUCUCUGUCACAAAGUUCUCAACUUUCCGGCCAAAAAGAUUCAAACUUUAUCUACUAUUUCAAUGUCUACUUGAAUUUCGAAUCAUCAGCAACACUGAAAGAGCAAAACCCACCAUGGAAGAGAAGAAACCACCACCAAACGACGUCGUCGUGCAAAUUUCCGGCGCCGAUGACUCCUUCAUGUUCUCGCCGCAGCCUUCCCGAACUGGGUCUCCUCAAAAAGACUCCAACUUUGAGCUCACCGAGCUCAGAUUCCCGGCCGGCGCUACUUCGCCGGAGAUCACAGCCACCACCGCCGCCAAGCCGCCGCGAAUUCCCGGCGAGCUUCGCCGCGUCUCGCUUGCCAGGUCAGCAUUCUCCAAACCCAAGUCGAGGUUUCAGGAGCCGGUUUAUACUAAUGAAGUCAAGGUGACUGAAGAAACUCCUCAGAGAAAGUCAAGUGCAAAGUCACCCAAUGUGGGUUCACCAAUCACUAGAACCACGGCUACUACUCCUAGAGAAGGUGUGAGAUCGACCCCUAUAACGCCGAGGACGCCGCUGAUUGGUACACCGGCGCGUGGAGAAGAGGAGGAGGAGGAUGAUGAGGAGGUGUACAAGACUGCCAAUCUUAAGGUGCACCAGAAGAGUGGUAAGAAGAAGGUGAAGAAGUUGGUGUUACUUGAGUGGGUUACAUUUAUGUCCAUUGUUGGGUUUUUGAUUGCUUGCUUAACUGUUGAUAAGUUAGAGAGUAAGAGUAUUUGGUCAUUGAGAUUGUGGAGAUGGUGUGUGCUUGUGUUGGUUGUGUUGUGUGGUAGGUUGGUGACAGAAUGGCUGAUUAAUAUCUUGGUUUUCGUGAUCGAAACAAAUUACUUGCUUAAGAAGAAGGUUUUGUAUUUUGUAUAUGGGUUGAAGAGGAGUGUGCAGGUGUUUAUUUGGUUGGGUUUGAUUCUACUAGCAUGGGGUUUGUUGUUUGAUCAUGGAGUGAAGAGGUCGAAGAAUACGUCUAAGAUUCUAGGUUAUGUGACUAGGGGUUUGGCUUCUUGUGAGAUUGGAGCAGCCAUAUGGUUGUUGAAGAAUUUGUUAGUGAAGCUGUUAGCCACCUCUUUUCAGUCCACCAGGUUCUUUGAUCGGAUUAAAGAAUCGAUAUUUCAUCAGUAUGUUCUUCGAAGCCUUUCGGGGCCUCCAUUGGUGGAGAUGGGCCAGAUGGCUGGAAGAAAAUUUGGGAAGGAUAGUGGCCGGUUGAGUUUCAAAAAUCUGCCAAAAACAAAGAAUGAUGGGAAGGAAGGGCCGAAAGAAGAAGUUAUUGACGUAGAAAAGCUUUCGAAAAUGAAGCAGGAUAAAAUUUCUGCUUGGACGAUGAAAGGAUUGAUUAAUGUGAUAAGUGGUUCUGGAUUGUCUACCAUCUCCCACACACUAGACGACAUCAACGAUGAGGAGAGUGAGCAGAAGGAUAUAGAGAUUACUAGUGAGUUUGAAGCACAAGCUGCAGCUUAUGACAUUUUCCUGAAUGUAGCCAAGCGUGGUAGCAAGUGAGAAUUUCUGUUAUUUCCGAGUGUUCCUUAUACUUUUUGGUGACUUGAAUUCUUGUAUAAGCUUUCUGACCCCUGUCAAAUGGACUAGGUACAUUGAGGAAGAUGACCUCUGUCGUUUCUUGAAAAAAGAAGAAGUCGAGCUCGUAUUUCCUCUGUUUGAAGGUGGAGCAGAAACUCGAAAGAUAAGAAAAAAGGCUUUAAAGAAUUGGCUGGUAAAUUCAUUGUCAAUUCACUCUAUUCCUUUAUCAUAUAUUCAUUUGUACUCCCCUGACACAUCUGUACUGUGAAAUGUAUACUGUAUUAUACUACUUCAAACUAAAUUUACCUACUUAUUUGUGAUAUGCAACAGUAACUAUUCAAAUUUAAAUUACACUCUGGUAGGAUUCUUGUUCUUUCAUGUCAUGAACAUUGAUGUAGACAUUCAGACUUUAAAAGAAUGUUUCAUUGCAUGAAUCUUACCAUUGUUCUAUUUUGCAGGUGAAUGUUUACAACGAACGCAAAUCAUUGGCACAUUCCUUAACUGAUACUAAAACAGCCAUAGAGGAGUUGAAUAGGCUUGGCUCAGCUCUUGUACUUGUUGUGAUCCUUAUCGUAUGGUUACUUCUGAUGGGAUUUUUGACAACCAAUAUACUGGUCUUUAUAUCAUCACAGCUUUUACUGGUGGUGUUUGUUUUUGGUAACACUGCUAAAACUGUGUUUGAAGCCAUCAUAUUUGUCUUUGUGAUGCACCCAUUUGAUGUAGGGGACCGUUGUGUUGUUGAUGGAGUACAGGUAACUUUGAAAUUCUAAUUUCCUUAUUUACUGCUAUUAAAAGAACAUACUUGACACUUCAGAACUUGACAGUUGAUCGUUGAAGAGAUGAACAUAUUGACAACAAUCUUCUUGAAACCUGACAAUGAGAAGGUAUACUAUCCAAAUUCAGUACUUGCUACUAAAGCCAUCAGCAACUUCUACAGGAGCCCGGAGAUGGGUGAUGCCGUUGAGUUUGCUGUUGAUGUUUCUACAACAAUUGACACUAUUGCGAACAUGAAAACCAGAAUAAAAACGUAUGUUAACUCCAACUUAUUGUGCUUCUCUAUUAUUCACUCUAUACUUUUACUCUUCAAGACUAUUUCAGCUCAAAAACAACCAACUUAUUAUACGCUUGUAGAGUUCUCAUGAAAAUCUUUCUUUGAAGUAUAGUUACAGGCUGUACCCACUUAUUUAGUCCCGGUGAGCCUGUUGCUCACAUUAUGACAUAAGAGAUUAGAAUCAUCUAGUCUACAGAUAAUCUCUUUUAUCCGCUUAAUAGCCGCAACUAGGUUUCUCAUAUGGAAUAGUCUUUAAGUUCUGUUGGGUGAUUCUGCCAUUCUGGUAUAACAUUUGGCUUCCUUGGAGAACUAGAUCCUUAUUUUGUUGAUAUAUUCCUAAUUAUGGCUUAUAGUCUUAUACCAAGCACAUAUGUGCUAUCCUGUUGAUUAUUCUCGAUUCCUCUCACUUGUUCAUAAAAUGACAUCCAACUUUUACUGUUACACCACCUCAGAUAUAUCUAUAUGGAUUGAUGAAGAAAUAUUUCAAACUUCAGGUACUUGGAGAGCAAGCCUCAGCACUGGCGUCCUGGGCAUAGUGUGGCGGUGAAGGAAAUCGAAGAUGUUAACAAGAUGACAAUGGCUCUUUAUAUUUCUCAUACGAUAAAUUUCCAGAACUAUGGAGACAAGACCAGCCGACGAACAGAACUAAUCUUAGAGCUGAAGAAAAUAUUUGAAGACCUUAAUAUAAAAUAUCACCUCCUGCCUCAAGAGAUUAUUCUCACCAAAGUUGGGUCAGCAACUACAGAGCUUCCACCCUCAUGGCGCUGACAAGUUUUGAUAGAUUUUGAAGAAGAAUGUCUGAGCUCCUACCGGAUGGAGAAAGACUGAAAGAGUCUAAAUGUUGUAAAAUUGUGAUUUCUGAGAUCUACGAGAUGUUUUAUUUUUUGAAAUUGUUCAUACCCCAGUUUUGAGUGAAUCUUGUUACAUUGUAAAGGUGAUAAUUUUUAAUUUCAAUACAAAGACCUGUACUCUGAGAAUCAUCUGCUCCAUUCUCUCUUAUCAUUGCUUCAAAGAUGACAAUGGUUCCUUGAUCAACUUUUUGUACAUGAAUUCACUAACGUCCUUAUUUUUUAAAAUUUUAGAUUAAAAUGUGGAUACAAGUUACCAGAACUUUUACUGAUAAAGACACCAUUUUUCAUCAGAUUAUGCAUCUAAAGAGCAAUCUUUACCAACAAAAAUUGGUCGACAUAUGUCGUUUUUUUAAUACAUGCACAGACAAUAACCUAUUCGUUGAAAGGAAAAUCAUUUCUCAGUGCAUUUUCUUCUUGAUUUUUUUUUUCUGAGUUUAUAUUUCUUUCUCGGAUAUUCAUUUAAAGCAAGCUUUGAAAAAGGUACGUGGAUCUCACAACCCUAUAUUUCUAUCAAUAUGUCAAUAUUGAGACCCAUGAUAACCAAUUUUUUUUGAAAACGGGUUAGGACCCAUGAUAACCAAUUUUAGAAGGCACAAAACUGACAGAAUGAAAACGAGGCACAAAAUUCAAUCUUGAUGUUUAAUUGGGCCAAUCAGAUAAACCUUAUCUACCAAUCCCAAUGGAGGAGCUGACACCUAGGACAAAGAUAAUUGACAAGCCAUUCCCACCUCUCAUAUUGCUUGCUGCUCUUUCCACCACCUCUAUGACUAUCUUAAACCUUCUCAAAUUCCUUCAUACCAGCACCAAGCCCUCAAACUUGGCACCAAUACUUCAAAGUUAGACACAGAAAACAACCCCCAAGAGAGAGAGAGAGAGAGAGAGAGAGAGAGAGAGAGUGAUGGCUUCAAGCUCAGCAGUUACAAUGGCUAUGCCAUUGCCCAAUGCCACCACUCAAAAGAGGGUGGUUCAAUCCUCAGAGGCCUUCUUCAAGCCACUACCCCUCAGGCACUCAAAGGCUGUGUCCUCACCUUCAAGAUCAAGUGGGAGGCUUGAGGUCAGGGCUUCCCUGAAGGAGAAGGCCGUCACCGCAAUUACCGCUGCCGCACUCACAGCCUCAAUGGUGGUCCCAGAUGUGGCUGAAGCCGCCUCCGGAGUCUCUCCGUCGCUCAAGAACUUCUUGCUCAGCAUUGCUGCCGGCGGCACUGUACUUGUUGUGAUUGUUGGAGCUGUAAUCGGAGUGUCCAAUUUCGACCCUGUUAAGAGGGGCUGAGAGAUAUUGAAAUGUCAUUCCCUAUCUUCUUCAUGUAUCUGUUUAGUGUUUUGCUUUUGUUAUGUUUACCUUCUAUAUCAUUGUGUAAUAUGACUCUUCUUCCCUCAGUAAACUGUGAAUGCUGAAAUCUCAUUUUCCAUUUUCGAUUCACAUAUUACAUUCAUUCAUAUAGACAGAACCCAAAAGAAGCACCUAGAAUCAAAAGGCAACAAAUUGCAUAACCGAAAUGUAUCUAGUCAUGAAUAAGACUAUCAUGGCUUCUUGGAGUAGUGCGCAUAGUACCAGUCAGAAGAACAAACAACUCAAUAACGAAGUUUCUAGAGUCGCCAGUAACUACAUCUAGGUUUUACAAAGCAUUAUAUAAAUGAAUAAAAUGAUAAUGUGCUAACUUACUAGCUUUCUCCAAUAUGAUGGUAUAUAAUCUCCAAGUAAGGAAAUGGAACUUGUUGAUUACCUAGAAAACUUUGAAAUCACAUCGAGCAUGUAUCUGCUCUCUGCAGAAUAGUUCACCGUAUCUGCCUUAACCACUGUGAUCUUCACCCUCUGCUCAUCGCCAUACAACUCCUCCUUGAUCUUAAGCUUUAACAUAAAAUGGUUGAAAAUACUGCUCCGGACUAUGUCUGCAAACUUUUCCUCAUCCUGCCCGUCAUACUUCAAGAAGUACAACUCCUUUGCUGUGCAACCCAAGAUCUCUGCCCCUGAUUCCUGAAAAGCCGUCACCCAAGUCAAUCCAGUAGAGUCCUGAAUUUGAGCUUGAAGAAGAUAUCUAUAAUCACACUCCUCAAAUUCUUGAUUGCACCUGUCACACUGCCAUCUGUCUCCUGACCUCGACACUUUCUUGCUACACUGCCUAUCUCCAAUCAUCAAUGGGCAUGCUGUGUAACAGAAAGAAUCAGUUUUAAUGAAAGAUAUUGUGGCCCUCACAGUGACCCAGUCUGGCUUAUCUGAUCUUCCAAGACCUUCAUCCUUGAUCUGAGAAACAGUUUUGCGUAUCUCAUUCUUAGUUACACCUCCUGGCAUAAAUUCCUUAGAGAUGGACACGGAAGCGGCAUCCUUUCCCCCUCGAUCAAACCAGUCCCUCACCUGACGAGCCUCGGGCAAAUCUGGGGGGUCGAUGUACAGCCGGGUAGAAUGAAUUGUUCCUAUGGAUUUCCCACUGAAGUCGUUAACCUUCCCAGCUUUGACAGCUAAAACUGGAAAAACACCAGAAGCCAACAUCUCUUCCAGUCUUUGACCUUCCCUGUUACAAACCUCCCCCCAUAGGGUUAUCUCAACACUCAUGCCAGACCAAUCCUUCAGAUGCAGAAUUCUUCUCUGAGUUUCCAUACCAUUCUUUCUCAGGAUAGUAGUAGAAGGGUUGACAGAAGUCACAACACCAAUAACAUCAAGUAUAGAAUUACUCUCAGCACUCUCAACUGCACUAAUAGGCUUGAAGUCAAACAGCUGGGCUGGUAUAGAACCAUCUUCAUCAGGGCACAGUUCCACUGUUGAACUCGCAUCCAAAGUUAUCUCCCAGUCACUCUUCAGAUGAUUAAAGUUCUUCUGCGCAGGUUUUAAGCUACCCUUUGAUAUCAAGUAAACUCUCCCAACCUCAAUAAUAUCAUAAAAGCGGUCAAGAACAGCAUUAAAGCAGGUCACUCUUAUUUCCCCACCCUCAGAGUCAAGGAGGUCGAAAGAGAAAACCUUACCAUCUCCUCGAGCAUUGUUAUAACGACGCUGAUCCCCUUUCGCAGUGACUCUUGCCUUGAUUGCCCACCUUCCCUGAUAAGGAUUCAGAGCAUUAAUAGGUAUAAUACGUGCUGGUGCCUCAUUCUUGAACACGGUACCACGAUUUUUAUACUGUGGAGGUGGCUGGUAGGAAGGUUGCACUGUAGCUCGGAAAUUUGGCACACUGGGAGCUGACAUUUCAGGACGAAAUGUAGGUCUGGGAUUCGGAACAUUGUUAUAAAAGCUUUCGGACUGGUAUGUUGGUCUGGCACUUGGCAUACUGGGAACAGAGUUUUCAGGAUGAAAAGAAGGCCUGGGAUUCUGCCAUUUGGGAACAGGCCCUUGGCCCAUCAUAUGAUUGUUGCCAUAGGCAGACUGCUCAAAAUUGUUCUUUGGCAACGCAGUUUGAGCAGUUGGACCAGACUCACCAUAUGGUUUUGGAUUCCCAAUAAUCUCUGAGUCCAGUACAAUAGUUUCCAUAUUCAGCGCCACAAUAAUCCUGCCAAAGAGUUCAAGUUAACUAGCAUCAGAAAAAAGUAAUCAUAGUUCGUUUGAAUUCACUCAGAAGCUUUCACAGCUUACACGCAUGAUCAGAUAUUUAGUUACAUCACUUUUAGCUUCUCUUAGCUUUGAUAAACUCUUUAGAAUUUCAAUCGCAUCUUUUAACAAGUUACAUCAACAUCAAGCACACACACACAACAGCUAACAUGCUUGAAUCCACACAAUGAAAACAAAAAUCCUCGAUUACUAGAGCCACACUACGAAAAACAAUCCGAAAAUCCGAACAAAAACCUAGAGAUUAGGUCUAUUUACUGCAAACUUUUCUGCACCGUUCAGCUUACAAAGAUUUUCUCAAAAUCACUCACAAUUUCAAAACUCGAAUUCUCAAACCACCGCAACAACAUUCAAUUCAAUUCAGCUCUAUACAGAUAAAUUCAAACUCAUCCAAAUGAAUCAGAAAACCCUAGCCUUCACGAAGCACAACAACAAUCACAUCUAACAAUCAAAAUAGAUCAUAAUUAACCGAAAAUCGAAAAACCGAAAAUGAGAGAGAGAGAGAGAGAGAGAGAGAGAGACGAACUUGCGGUUCUGGACUUCGCUGCAAAUGUACUCGGUGAGCUGCACGACGGAGCCUUUCCUGACCCGGCCGGUCUUGAACAGCUCGUUGAGCUGAGUCGCGACCAUGGCGUGCUGAGCCCAGACGCCGUCGGAGAGCAGGAGCCGGUACCUCUCCUGCGAGCCGAUAAGCUUGACGUCGGUGACCUGCAUCAGCGGCUUCAGGUUGACAUCGCCGCCGUUGAUGAUCGGGACCGCGUUCGGCGUCAGCUGCACCGGCAUUUCCGAAAACCCUAGGUCGGCGGAAGCGAGGGUAGAAUUGGAAAUUGAGAGGGAGAGUGGGAGUGGCGCGGGGGAGAGGGUUAAAUCAACUGAGAAAAGAAAUGAGGGAUUUUGAAUUUCGAAAACUGGGUUUGAGGCACUGGACUUGUAUCUUUAUAUAUGAAGAUGCUCAGUGAUAAUUACAAUUAUGUCCUUUCGUGUUGCCCUUUCCUAUUUCCACUUCGCUUACUUGCUAAAUAGCCACAAGUUUUACCAGACAUUUAUAUGAUUGUCAUGGAGGGAAACAAUUAGUGUAAUGAUGUGAAGUGUUAAGGUUACUUUUAUAAAUUUUUAGUAAUGUUGAAAAUCGUAAAGACAUUAUAAAUGUGAUUUAUCAAUUAUAAAUUUGAAUGAUUCAUAUUUAACAGAUUUAGUUCGUCUAUUAAUUUGAUUUAAUUUAUUAUAUUAAUUAAUUUAGUUGAAAAUUAGUAAAAAUGAUCUACUUAUAUAGACCUAAAACCUAAACGGAUAAAAUAUCAAAAUGUGAUUAAAAAAUAAAUAUUUUUAACUAUAAACCGAAAAAUCUUCGACUAAUUUUUAUUAUUGAGAUUCUUGUUAAUAAGGCUCCCAAGAUAUUAAUACAACUUUACACCAUUCAGCCCAACGACCCAAAAAAAUAUAAAUAAAUAAGUAAACAAGUACCCAACCCAAAAAAUUCUAAAUAAAUAAGUAAACAAGUACCCAACCCAAAAAAUACUAAAUAAAAUAAGUAAACAAGUACAAGGAGGAGUCACAGGUGUAUCUCCAAGUCCCAAAUUCCAACUCCAUCUCAUGUCUCCCGGAACCAGAAACCAACCACAACACCACUUCUCUUCAUAAACGGAUUUACCUAAAGAAACAAAGCAGUUAGCAGUCUCUCUUUCUCUCUUCAGUCCCUCAAACCAGUCUCUCCCUCUUCAGAAACAUACCGCGCCAGUCUCUCUCCCUCUUCAGAUCAAAAUUUAGGUUGGUUUUUGUUUCCUUACUCUUCUGGAUUUAUUCUUUUUAGUCAAAAUCUGAACUGGGUCUGGGAUUGUUGUAUGAAAUUGGUCUUUGUUAAUGAUUUUGUUGAAUUAUUGACUGCUGGUGUUCUGUGGGUUCUUAAUUUUGUGCAUUUGGUGUUUGUGAGUUUGUUGUGUUUGGUUUGCUUUCUGGGCAAUAUCAAUUCAUGGAUUCUAGAUGAAUGAAGAUUGAUUUCAAUCAUCGUUUUGUGGUUCUUCUUUAGGUCAAUCGUUUGGUAGUUUUGAUGUGAUUUCAGUUGGUUUUCUGGGUUCUAUACAUUUGAUGUGUGUUUUUGAACCUCAUUGCUGCUUUUAUUGAAAGGCUGAAUUUCGUUGAAUGAACUCAAAUUUGCACCCUGUAAAGUAAGAUUAUUUGCAAACUGUGUGUAUUAAUUGUUUUGUAAAUUUCAAUUUUUUCAGAGUAGGGUGAGAAUGGAUGAUGAUGAUAUAUCAAUAUCAUUAACUAGAGGAACCCCGCAUUUUUGUCCAUAUUUUCAGUUAAAAGAAGAAGGGUUUGGAAAGUGCCAAGUUGGGAAAUCAGCACAGAGAACCGCAUGGCACCCAACUUCAUCUUAAAGAGCUUCAGAUUUGCUCGUGUGUUUUGCAGAGAUGGGCAACCAAUGGAGGGAUUGGCUUCACAUUUUGGUCUCGAAAAGCAGUUGUUUAGUACAAGAGCGAUUUCCCCAGCGGGCCAAGACGAUUGUACUGUCUCCUAUCUGGUGAACUCGUGUGGAUUGUCCCUAGAAGCCGCUACUCUGGUAUCUCACAAGGUAAAGCUUCAAACUUUAGACAAACCCAACUUUGUUUUAGCCCUUUUAAGAGACUAUGAAUUCUCAGAUACCCACAUCUCAACUCUUGUGCGGAGACGGCCACGGAUUCUGGUAGCCGAUGCCCAGAAAACCCUUUUGCCAAAGCUUGAGUUUUUAAGCUCCAUAGGAAUGUCAAGGCUGGACCUUGCAAAUAAACUGAGCCAUGACCCAUGGUUCAUGAGUCGAAGCUUGGAAAAACGUAUCGUACCCAUGUGUAGCUUUCUCAAGAGUGUGGUGCUCUGUGAUGACAAACUGGUGUAUAUUUUGAAGCACAAGUCGUGUAUUUUCAGUGGGAAUCUAUCCAAGAAUGUGAUACCUAAUGUUGAGCUUGUGAGGAAAUUGGGCAUGCCCCAGUCAUGUAUUGUCUUGUUGCUAACCAGAUAUCCUAUUGUGUUGAGGAAGCCUGAAUUGUUCAGUCAACUUGUGGCUGAAGUUGAACAAUGGGGAUUUGACUCUCGAAAGUCGAGCUUUGUGCUAGCCAUGAAUGCAUUAUGUCGAAAAGAGACGACAUGGAAACGAUGUGAUCAGGCUUAUAGGAGGUGGGGUUGGUCGGACAAUGAUAUUGUUGCUGCCUUCAAGAUGGAUCCACUGUGUAUGAUUUUAUCGGAGAAGAAAAUAAUGGCAACAAUGGAUUUCUUUGUGAACAAGAUGGGGUGGCAGUCACAUACGGUUGCCAAAUAUCCCCAUGUUUUGAGUUACAGCUUGAAGAAGAAAAUCUUCCCGAGGUUUUCAGUUGUUAGAGUUUUGGUGUUAAAAGGAUUGAUAGAAGAGCACAAGUUGAAUUUGGGUUCUGUGAUUUCGGUGUCGGAGGGGUACUUCUUGAAUAGGUUUGUGAACAAAUAUCUCAACCAAGUACCUCAAUUGCUGGAUGUCUACCAAGGGAAAAUGGCAACAUUUUAACAGUUCUUGGGUGAUAGUGUUGAAUCUAGAGGUGCUACCAGGUUUUUCAUAUACACCAAACCCUUCAUUCAGACUUUUAUAAAGUUUUUGUUUUAAUGGGACUUGGCUGUGUCAUGUCGAUCAAUUUCUUUCAUCUCUCUCUCUCUCNNNNNNNNNNNNNNNNNNNNCUCUCUCUCUCUCUCUCUCUCUCUCUCUCUCUCUCUCUCUCUCUCUCUCUCUCUCUCUCUCUCUCUCUCUCUCUCUCUCUCUCUCUCUCUAUAUAUGAGUAACAUAAAGUUUCAGCACAACACUAUCUAAUAUUUGCAGAAGCAUUUCACCUCUAUCAUAUAUAAAUGUUUUAGAAAAUAACAUGGAGCAAUUACAGAUCUUGUGUAUGAUGGCAUGGUACAGAACUUACAAGAGACGAGUACGUAAGAGUUUCAAGAAGGAUUUUGUCAUUUAGAGCAUAAGAAAGGGAUCAGAAGUUCAGACCACUAGGCAUGAACAGAGAAUGAGAGACAUAUCUACUGAGACUCUAAAUUAUUGAUCAAAUAGAUGCUAGAAGAAAUGAGGGUUUUGCCUUUUUUUUGUAACUAAAAAUCAUAUAAAGAAGACUCUGAAAAGAGUUGAAGACUCUUUAGUUUUAGAGUUUUUUAUUUAAUAAAAAAAAUUAUAUGGAUCAAUAAGAUGUUAACGCGUGGCAAAAGUUUUGUGUCUCGGGCCUGAACGGGCUUUCGGUGCAGGACCGAGCCUGAACCGAACUGAAAGUCAACGGGCUGGUCUAUGGCCCGAACCAAACUUCUCUCAAUUUGGACCAGCCCGAUAGGGACCGAUAGGGCUUUUUUCAGUUUUUCUGGGUUUUUGGGCCCAAACGCUCAGCCUUACAUAAACCCCUAAACCCCAACUCUCCCUUCCAGACUGAAAUUUAGGGCAAAUCACUAAGAGAGCAAAACCCAACAAUGGUUGAAUAUCUACCUGAAGAAGUGGGAAUAGUUCACUUCGCUUGCUUGCUAAAUAGCCACAAGUUUUACAAGACAUUUACAUGAUUGCCAUGGAGGGAAACUAUUAGUGUAAUAAUAUCAAAAGUUAAGGUUACUUUGGAAUUUGAGUCUGUUUUUUUUAAAAAAAAUCAUUAAAUAACUUACACACCUUACAUAUGUCGUGAGGUUUGAACUCAUAACCUUAAACUCUUUAACCAACUCCGUGUCUUUGUUGAUUUCUAUAAGAAGAUUGAGAGCAUGAUGAGGUGGCGUAAACAAUGUGGCUGACAAAGGAGCCCGGGGUAAGGCACUUAUUAACAGGCUUGCCAUAGGCAAAAGUCACGAUGGCAUUCUGGUAUUUAAAUCGAACUACUCAUGGCAAAAUGGGAUUAUGACAAUAACCGUCCCGAUUGCGAGCGUCGUUUCCAAAGGUUUGGCGAACACAAUUACAAUGUGGUGGUAAGCUCGCUUAAUUUUCAGUGGUUCUCAGGUUGUCCUCGUUAAACCCACUUUUAAUCAAUACCCUCGCACAUGGAUUCAUAUUUAGUCUAUCUUUUACGUCACCAAAAUAAUGUCACCACAAUACAAAAAUCGAUAAUACAUAACAGGUUACAAGUUUUUGCCCUCGUUGCAUCAUUUUACUCACCUCAACACCUUUAUUUGAAACUUUAAUUUAUUUUCUUUACACAACAAGAAAAUAACGUUGACACUACAUCACAUAAUCAGAAAACGCACUACAUUAAUAUCAGCAACCACCUCGAUGAAUUGGGAGUUGGAGCUGGUUAGAGUAACAACACAUUGUGUUUUUUGAUUAUGUGAUAUAACGUUUAUGUUAUCACCUUAUCGAACCAUUAACGGCACAUCACAAGAUCAAAAACACGAUGCGUUGUCACCAUACCGAACCUCUAAUCUCCAUUUACGAUUUUCACCAACCCCCGAACCAUCUUUGUUCGGAAGAUAAGAUAAUGUGGGAGCCCUUUUAAUGAGAACUCUUAAGUUGAUGAUUUUUCGCCUAUCAUAUUUUUCGAUCUUAUAUCCACAUCUUGACCGUUGAGUUUAUAGGUAUUUAUGAGUAUAUCAUUUAUGCAAAUUUUUAGCCAUAUUGAAAAUUGUAAAGGCAUUCAUAAGUGUGAUUUACCAAUUAUGAAUUUGAACGAUUCAUGCUUAACAGAUUUGGUUUGUCUAUUAAUUUGAUCUAGUUUGUUACAUUAACGAUCACCAAUUUAGCUGAAAAUUUUUAAAAAUGAUAUACUCAUAUAGACCUAAAAACUGAAUGAAUAAGAUGUCAAAAUGUGAUCGAAAAAUAAAUUUUUUUAACCAUAAAUCGAAAGCCUUCAACUAAUAUCAUCGUAGAGAUCCUGGUUGCAACUUUACACCAUCCACCAAAACCCCCACCAUUCACCCCAACGGCCCAACCCAAAAAAUCUAAGUAUGUAAGUAAUAAAGUAAACAAGGAGGGGUCACAUCGAAACAUAUCUCCAAAGUCCCAAGUCCCAAAUUCCAACUCCAUCUCAUGUCUCCCGGAACCAGAAACCAACCACUUCUCUUCAUAAACCCCAACUCUCCCUUCCAGACAGAAAUUUAGGGCAAAUCACUGAGAGAGCAAAGCCCAACAAUGGCUGAAUAUCUACCCGAAGAAGUAGUAGAACAAAUCCUUCACUGCUUGCCCCCAAAAGCUAUAGUCAAAUGCACCCUGGUCUCCAAAUCAUGGAUGUCUCUGGUCAAAAGCACCGACUUCAUUCACACCCACCUCCGCCGCACUGUCCAAACCAACCACCGUCACAGGCCACCACCUCCGUCUCCUCCGCUCAGUCGACGUGGAGCAAAACCACCGUGACUUGUUCUCCUUGCAUUGGGAAAGCCCUGAUUUCGGUGAGUACACUCAGCUCGAAAGCCCUUUCCGUUUUAUUACAAAUGAUAAGGAGAAGACUAUUCCUAGAGUUGAUGUCGAUGAUGUGGUUGGAACUUAUAAUGGCCUCAUAUGCCUAGCUGAUUAUGGUUUUUUGUGCCUCAUUUGGAACCCAUCUAUAAGAAAGUGUGUGGUUUUGCCUAGAACAACUGCUACCAAGAAGAAGGAUUUGACUAGGGUGAUCAAAAGUUUCGGGUUUGGGUACGAUUCUAAGAACAAGGAUUACAAGGUUUUGAGGAUUUUGAGUGAUGGUUUUCGUGAGUUUGAGGUCUACUCCUUGGCUAGAGGGACCUGGAAGAGCCUUGGUGAUGUUCCUGUAGAUUUUAUGCCUUUUCAUUUUGGUGUUAGUCUUGAAGAGAGACAUGUUUGUGUCAAUGAUGCUCUGCAGUGGUUGGUUCUGCGGCGGCAGAAGAACAAGGACAAUGCCAUUGUUUGUUUUGAUCUGCAGGGCGAGACGUUUACUGAGAUGGCGGUGCCGGAUGGUUUGAGGAGGGAGUUGUGCUAUGUUUCGAAGUAUAGGGAGUGGCUAGCAUUGAUCAGGUGUAAAAUUGUAGGACAAGAUCCGACUAGUUCUGGUUUUUUCAUGUGGGUCAUGAAUGAGUAUGGUGUUGAGGAAUCAUGGACUAUGUUGUUCAAUGUGCGUCUGGUGGGAUUUACAUAUGAGCCGCUUAGUUUGACAACGAAUGGGGAGGUGGUGCUCAAGAGGGAUUUUGGUGACGAGCCGAUUUGGGUGGAUCUUAAUAGGAAUUAUGCUAAAGGUUUUGGAAUGAAAGGAUAUAGGUACUGCUUCCUGGAUUGUUUUGUAGAGAGCAUUGUUUUACUUGGCCAAUCCAAUGCUAUUUCCUAUUGAGCUGCUAGUUUUAUGAGAUGUAGUGUCUUUUGCUCCAUCUUCUUGAUGCUAAUCUGAAAUCAAAUGGUUUUAACAUUAGGGGAUCCCUCAGCAUUGCCUCUUUGCUGCUGGAUUAUGGCACAUUUGGAAGCGGUGAUGGAAGUUCACUGAUUGUUCUUGUUUCCAAAAGCCAAUGUGGCUUCAUAAUCUCAUAGUUCUGGUUGCUAGAGACUAUUUCAAGCUAACAGGGUGUUCAAUUCUCUGGCAUUCAAGGCACAUUGUGCAUUCUAGUUGGCAGUUCAAGUCUAGUACCGUAGUAAUAUGUGCUUGAGGUGUGUGAUAAGCAAUGUUGUGGUCUAUGGUGAAGUGCUUUUCUACUGAGCUUGGUGAUGGUCAGGUGGUAGAAGCUGUAAUUUAGGGUCGGUUGAAGAAAUUGAAAUGGUUUAGAAUACUACUGCAAAGUUUCUAAGGGGAGAUUUAUUCUUGCUUGGCUAUUAGGAAAGGUAAGGCUUAAAGCAUACCCUGCACUCUUGAUGGACCUGAAGAAGCUAAAACUAGAGAUGUUGCUAGCUAGGUGUUAUUUUUGGCCUUUGAGCCUCUAUAAGAAAAAUAUAUACUUAACUAAGAGUUUAGUGGAAUUCAAAGUUAAAAUUGGCGUUUAUCUCUCCUUCAAGUAUGUACUUCGUUGUAAGUUUAAAGAUGAUGCAAAAAUUCCCUUUUCAAAUUUCUCAAAAUUUUGAUGAUUAAUUUGAUCUGGUUUUGCUCUAUCGGUUUGCUUCUGAAGUACUAGGGAGUAGGGAUUAGUCCGCUACCGGAAUAAUGGCAACGCAACAUAGUAAAAACAUCUAUUGAAAGCUGAGCGCUUACUUCAUAAACAUAAGUCUCACAUUAAAGCCAAUGAUAUCUCUGAAAGCUUAAACUAGUUCCAAAUUUAUAUGCAGACCAAAAUAAAAGAGCAGAAGAGCUAUUGGUUUUACAUCUUACCCACACACUUUUAUUCUUAUCACUGGCAUUGUUUCUAAUAGCAGCAUAUUGCACAUUUAGACCUCAAUCACGCCUUGUGCAGUUGUGCAUCAUCAGUGAGCCCAUGUCCAUAGCAGAACUUUGUAGUUUCUUCAGUGAAGACAUUAGUUUCCUCCAUAAGUCUGCAUCACAACAAAAGAAGCUAACUUCAGUAUUAGGAAUCCUGCAUACACAAGUGCAUGCAUAAUGAUUGAAGAUAAAGUAUCGAAAUGUUUUCACAUUCGAAGAAAUGAGUAACACUAGUUGAAUAACUUGUUGUGAAUAAAUCUGUACUUACGAUGCGAAGAUCGUCUUGUUAACCACAGUCGAUGAGACAAUGAAUGCACCAUCUAAAUACAGCAGCUCGCCUUGGAUUCGUUCCUGAAUCCUGCUAUCUAGUUGUGCAGCAUCCAGUUUGAGUGGCUGAUUUGAAGCCUGUCCAUUUCAGAUAACAGAAACGAGCUUUUAAACGGCAUCCGGGUAGUUAAGGUCAUGGUAGCUGGUUGCUUAAUCUGUUUCUACUUACCACAACCCAUCCACAUGAAUCCGCAUAAGAUGGCACAUGAGCUGUGUACGCAAACACAUCUGCAGAAAGUAAUAUAUAGGUAUCAAUGGGAUACUUUUGAAGACAUUAAUUUGGAGAAUCUGAAUGAAAAUGACUUUAUUAGUAAUGCAUACAUUUGAACACAUGUUUUACAGUGUUGUAUAUUGAGGUGAAGAUAUCCUUGUGAGAAAGCAUUCCCGCUGGACCAGCCUGUAUCAUAAGCACAUUGUAACAUAAAUUUUAUCACUAAUCAUAUUCAUAUAUGAUUAUUCACAUUUGGGAAUGUAAUUUCAAUAAUAUAAGACUUACUUGAGUGACAAAGAUGCCAUUGUCUUUGAGGUGAGGUUUUAUGACUUGCUCAUAGAAUCGUUUGGUGUAAAGAUCAUUGCAUGGGCCUCCCUCAAUUGGGUCUGUUACGUCCCCCACAAUCACAUCAAACCUCUCUUCAGUUUUCUCCAACUCAGCCCUUUAUUCAAUCUCAACAAUUAGCUAUGGUUCAGUUCAGUUUAUAUCUAUAUGAAGCAUAUAAACAAUUUAGUGCAGCAAGAACCAAUACUCAAGAAAGCAUAGAUAUCAUAGAAGAUCAGAAUGGUUAUAAUUAUAUGUCGUCAAGUGUCUCAUAAUGAGAUUUCAGACAAGAUUAAGCACAACCAAAAUUACUACUACUCACUUAGCAUCAUUGAAAACAAGUUGAAGCCUAUUAUCAGAAAACGCCUCGUGAUUUGCUUCUAAAUGUACGCGGCAAAAAUUGACAACCACCUGCAUAUGGAGAAAGAGUAAUCAGCUAAAGAACAGCGCUAUAUGCUACAUAACAGCAAAGUUCCUCAGAUACAUUGCUGAUGUUAAGCCUAUUUGAAGAUCAAGUCUACUGAGUACUGACCAUAUGUAUAGUUCAUACCUCAUCUAUAUCACACAUGAUAACUUUCUCCACACCUUUGUGCUUCAGUGCCUCCCUGGCUGUAGACCCUUCACCACCUCCCAUUAUGAAUAUGGUUUUGGGGCUGAAAUUACCAAUUACUGAUUAGAACAAAGAUAGAUGAAAACGAAAGCAAAAAGAUCAAAAAUAAUUAAGGUAACUAAAGAGAGAGUUGAGAAAUGAGAUGAUACUUUUCAUGUAGCAAAAGAGCAGGAUGAACCAAGGACUCAUGGUAUAUAAAUUCAUCUUUUUCAGCACUCUGCAGCCUUCCAUCAAUCACCAGAACCUAAAACACCAAAGGAAAAAUGUGGAUGAACCAAAAUCUGUGUACUUGUGAAUAUGUGACACUCAUACAGAGAUAGAGAUAGAGAGAGAGAGAGAGAAAAAAAGAGAUGGAAAGGGAGAGAGAACCUUGCCAAAGCGUUUCGAGUCUAGAAGAGCAGCAUCUUGAAACUGGCUUGUUCCUUUGUGCAACACCCUAAAACAAACCACAAAUGAAUAGGGUAAACAUGUCACAGAGAUUGUGGGGAAAUAUUUUUGAAUAUUUCACUAGCUUAGGGUACCUAUUCAAGGCAAAAGACCAUUUGAGAUCAGCUUCGAGCUGCUCUUCAAACCAUUCUUCACCGUUUUGGUCCUGCUGGUCACCAUUCUCAUCAUCUUGGGGAAUAUCAUCAUCCUGAUCAUGAUCACUCUCGGAGAAGUAGAUAUGCUCAUCAACGUUCAGGGGAGGCUGGUCAUCCUCAAGCGGAACCUGAGGCGGAGGAGAAUAGAAGGCCAUGACAGCAGCACACAGAAACGACCACAGUGGUGAUGAUGUGAUGGUGAACAAACUUUUGAGUACAGUAGUAUGAACAAUGUGAGUGACAGUGACUAACUGAAUAGCUCUGUCUGUAUAUAGAGCAAUGAAGCGUUACGUAGUAUAAAGUGCCAUUCAUGCUUGCUUUGGGGAUAAGACUGAAUGGUUUUGUUUUUACUUUUUACGCAUUGAUGAAUUUACCGGGCCAACCAAGGGUGAUUCAGAAGUGUAGCAAAGACAAUACUGCAUGAACGCUUCGUGUUCAGGUCAAAUGAGUCGAGGGCCCACCUUUUUGGAGGUCUUAUCCUCCUCUUAGUUAAAUUCUUUGAAUUAACCACGAUUUACUUCUGAAAUUGAAUUGUUCAUGACACGAUGUUGUUUUUGAAUCUAAUUUGGUAGAUUAUGUUUUGAAUCUAAUCGUUCAUCUUGUGACUACGUGACGCACACGAUAUAGUCACAAACAAGCUGAAAUUUUACGAAGACGACAUUUUGAGUAUCGAAUACCGUGGGUUCUGAAAGUUGUGUUUUACAUGAAUAAUGUGUCAAAUUUUUCAAAGAUACAUGACUCAACUUCGUCAAGACUUGAGAGUAGCUACUAGACUGAUACUGAUUUGAGAAUAUGAUUCUGAUAAGUCAUAAAACAGUACAAGUGAAAAACUAAAAAUUCAUAAAAAUCCUUAAAAUUAAGAAACAUAUUUUAAAUAAAGUAUCAAGUAUGAAACAAUUCAAGAUAAAGGAUCCGCCCCAUCUUUGCAGUACACAAAAUUUGCCAAAGGAAACAAUAAAACUAGAACAACCAAGUCUGAGGCUAAAGUUUUGACCAAAAAUAUAAGAGCCUGAAGCUAAAGUUAUGAACUUGCGUAACCCAGAACAUUUCUUAAGCCACUGGGAGGGCUGGCAUGGCUGGAAUGUCAAUAUCAGUUGGGGCCAAAAGAGGCGCUGCUUCAAUUUCUGGUGCCCGCCUGACAUACUCAUCAUCCUUUGGUUGGUGGAUUGUAACCAGAUCAGGUAGAGGAGUCAUGGGUCCUUGCUUGCCCUUGGGAUCCCAGUCGAGCAUAAUCUUGACCUUGAUACCAAGAACACCCUGCAGACAAACACACGUGUCAGACGACAUUAUAACAGCAAGACAAGCAAUUGUCACCGAAUAAUGGUGAAGGAAAUGAGAUCCAGGAGAAGGGGACAAACCUGUCUGAGGAGAACAUGUCUCACAGCUGAGUCAAUGUACUCAUUCACUGGCUGACCAGAAGAAAUCAUGUAGCCAUCCUUGAACUUCAUGGCCUUGGCUCUCUGUGCCCUCAGCUUUCCACUAACAAUCACCUGUAAUUGUACCAAUGAGAAUUCAAAUGUUAGUAUUCAAUUUUCAUCCAAUACUGUAUCACAAUAUAAAAAACAGUCUGAUUCAAACCCACCUCACAACCCUUUGCGCCACUUUCCAUGACAAAUCUUAAAACACCAUAGCAAGCCCUGAAAGAAGCAAAUGUGGUGUGUCAAAACACCUGGUCAACAACUAACAUAGAGCAAGACAGAACUAGUAAUGCUGUCAAUAAUUAGGAAAGCUUUUCAAUACCCAAGUUAUGAGACAAAGAGAGACGUUACUUUAAAUAUUCAAUUCAGAAACAAUAGAUAUAUUUUCAGAUUUAAGAACACAUAUAAAGGGGUUUAAAGCAUGUACAUUCCCUACAGUUGCUGCAUGAAAACAAUUAAGCCUCACGAAGAAUACCGCAUAGAAGAUGUCAAUCAGUUUUGUCAUCUUCCGACACAAAGUUGAUAGGAAGUAACCAAUUCGCUUUGUAGAUGACAUAAAAUACACCAGAACAUAAGAGAAAAUCAUUCUCCAAUCACUUUUAACAGGUUGAAACUUCUGAAUUUAGAGUUACCAUAAAAUUAAACACAUGGCAAAGUAUGUUAUACAUAACUAUGUACCCUCCCAGAGGUAACUAAAUGAAAACAAGCCUAUUUCAUAAAAAAAAAUCAAGGAGGACGUCAAUCUAUUUCAUCAUCUUCCGACACAAAAGUGGUAGUAAACGACCAACCCUGCUUUGUAGAUGACUCACAAAAACAUCAAACCUCACUUCAAUACAUACACCAUAUAAACCCAAAUCAAGUUUUUUUUAAUAAUGUGAGCCAACAACAAGUUAUUGAAAUCAUGGUAAACUAACCCUAGUCCCAAAAUAAAUACUACUUAAAUGUACACCAAGUGGCACGGCAAUGAACUUCAAAACAGAACACUAAAUAGUAUCCUACAACCUUGCAUAGAAAAAGCAUAUAUUUGAACGUGUGCCCUCCCUACCACUUCAUGAAAACAAGGACAUCUCACAACGAUAUUGGCAUGGAGGUUCAAAAUCAAUUACGAUCCGAAAUCAAUUUCGUCAACUUCCGACACAGAGUUGGUAGCAAAAACACCAAUCUGCUUUGUAGAUGACAUAUAGCCACAUCUAACAGGCAAUCCAAAACAAUAUCAAACCAAUUCGUCUAAAAACUCUCAACACCACAUGUCAUAAACCAUUCAGAACCAAAUAUAUGAUUACUAUCAAAUCGAAAGCACUAAAAGAUCACUGCAAUACUAAUCGCAUCGUAUACCUGCGAACAGGUAGGCCUCCGAGAAGCUUGUAUCGGAGAGACUCAGCCUGAGCAGUAGAGCAAAGUCCUCUGUUGGCGACCUUCUCAGCAUAAAGCUCGACACCUUUCUCAGGGAACUUGAACCUCUUCUGCACAACUGAGGUCAGCUCCCUAAUCCUCCUCCCCUUCUCUCCGAGCACGUUUUGAGUCCUGGUAGCCCUGAUUAUGAUCUCAGUGCGCAUCGGCGUAACCCUAACCUCAGCGCCGGAGUAGCCGUCUUCGGCGAGCUCCCUCAUCAGAAGCUCGUUGAGCUCGGCGAAGAAAACGCCGUCAGCGACGAACUGAGGAACACAGAAACGAAACAGAGAUAACGAUUCAGAUCAAAACUCAGAUCGAUUUUCAUACUGUGGGGGAGAAGAGAGGGGGCUUACCUUUCGCUUCUUGCUCAUUUGUGUAGCCGUCGCCAUUUUCGAGAUUGAGAAGCUGCAGAGAGCGAGAUCUGAAAUGUGGUGGCGGUAGCUCUGCAAACCCUAGCGCUUUGGUUUUGUGAGCAGCUGGGGAUGUAAAGGAUAUACAGCUAGGGUUUAUAUGUGUAGGUGGACAAGGUUCGACGGUGGUGAUUGGUUUAGUGGACGGAUGAGAUUUGGUCUGGUUUGUCUUUUUGUUUUGGACUUGGGCCUCAGGGUUUAUUAGGUUUUCUGUCUUGGGCCUCAGAAUUUGGUUAGUAUCGGGAGCAUAACCCAGAAAGUAUGUAAGUUAAUGGACUUUGGGUAAAUUGUAAUGGGCUGUGUAAUUUUACUCCCACUCCACCUGUGAAGUUGGACCCAAGUCAGUUCAUGUGUCGCUUCAAGAGAACACAUUGGUUUAUGAUCAAAUUCAAAAGGAGAACUCUUUUCCUUACCUUUCACAAAGUGCUGACAUUGAUGAUGCAUUUAGAUACUACACCAAGUUUCAAUACUUACAAAUUUGUUAUCGACGAAACUGUUAGUGCACGUUUGACACUGAGGACUGUAUUUCUUUGUUUUGUAAGAUUGUCAUAGACUCAUGUGGGUUACCUUGAGUUGUACUAAUAUUGACCAUUGUUUGGUGUUGCACGAGAUUAGAGAGUAGUUUGAUUGGUUUAUGAUUUAGAAGCAAUGUGUUAUCUAACGAUGAUCAAUCUGAGUACCUACUGUCACACCAUCUAAGGAGGCCAUAAUGAAAACAAUGUGUUAUGUAAGCUCAUUUACAUACCCAGUGACACUAAACAUGAUUUUAACCAAAUUGAACUCCUUAUAUAUAGUCCCAGUAAACAAAAUGAAACUCGCACGCUAACUUAUUUUGCUUGUCUAAUUGAGACAAAUACUCUUUCUCAACUUCAUCUACUUCAAUCCCUCAUGGACUAUAAACAGAAUCAUACAUAAACACAAACUUAUGUCUUACUCUGAACACCCUUUAAAAUUGGUUACCUACCCUCUAGAGGCCUAUGAACAUCUCAUAUUUUAGAUCAUCACACAAAGAAUGUGACACUCCCCGUAAAAAAUUGGGUCUCACACACUUUUUGAGACCUAGGGCGCAAUGCUCCAAAAACACACAAUUACUUUGCCUACAAAAAUGAGGGGGGGAAAGUGGGUUGUGAUCAUCAUCAUCAUUGGUAGUGUUACAAUGGCAGAAUAAGUAUGGGCGUGAAUUAUAUGAUUACCUAAUUGGGUCAUAUUAACUUAACAAAUAGUGCAGAAGCCUAUAGAAUCAGAUUUAUAGUCUCUAAUUAAAAAUAGCCAAAACUAGACAUGACAACCUUUCCAACCUGUUUGCUUGAAAUUUAAGGGACACAAGAAUGGGGCGAAGAAGAAAGUAGAUUCCCUCACUGCACAUGAUGUAAGUAUUUUCUAGCAGCAACAUGUAUAAUUUGUCUGGCCUGGUUUUAGUGACCAAUUAUAUAUCUGAUCUUCCUCUAGCCCUUAAUGAUUUGAUUAGCCUUCUUACCCUAUAAAUCAAGCACUGUAUUAAUUAAAUGAGAUCAUGGUCUUAGUAGGUAGUCUAUGAUUUGUUUAAAUUUGAUGCACUAGACUAAAAGCUGGAUUAGUUUGUUAAUUACAAAUUAGUAGUCCAGCAUUGUUGGGUGGCCAGCUCGUAUUGGGGGAGAUUUCGACGGUGUGAUCAAAGAAUGUGACUGAUUUUGAUCACAAGGACGAGGUUCCAUCUUUGUUGGUGUUGUUUUCAUGGGUUUGCUGUCAUUAGCAUGCUAAAUCUGUGAUUAGUUGAGAAAGGUGUCUCAAGUUUAGUUUUUAAUUAGAAUGGGAUGUGAUAUUAUAAACGCCCAAAUCUGAUGUAGAUGUGUACCCUUGCGCAUUGGUGGAGGAGACCAGGUUAGGUUCGUAUUAAGAUGACAUAAGCUCGCCUUAAUUGUUACAAUACCAAUAUGGUCACCGUGACACGAUAUAGAUGAUAAUAUGUUUAAUUACAUAGAUUUUUAGUUCGGAAUAUCUUAUUUGUUAAGUUGCCCGCAAUCUAUUAAUGUUUGUUAAAAUGAAGUAAUCAACAAUGACAUUCAAUUGAUUGAAAUAAAGACUAUUGUAUACAAGAAAAGUAGAACCAUGAACACGAUAGUGCAUUGUGGUGUUGGAAUUUUGUGUCUUGAUUUAAACCGAUAUUGUGAAAAGAAAAGGCUUCAUAUAGGUGAAGAAAUGUAACACAAUCAAUGUAAGUCAAUGAUUUCCUCCUAAUGGUAAUUAGUCCCUUUCGGAUAAAACUCACACUUGUCUUUACCAUAUGUUGUUAACAAGCUUCUUAAAGGCCCCGUCUAGGGUUUAGGCUGUAACAAGUUGCCUCGUUUUUCUUCGAGGCCUUUGUGCUAGGUUGUGGGCAAUUAGGCGGCUGCCUAAACGCCACUUAUGCCACCUAGACACAGCCUAACUCGCCUAGGCUACUAAGUUUUCCGGUUAAUUUGUUGUCUUUUUGUGGUGGGGUUGAUAUUGUGGGGAGCAUGAGAGUAUAAAAGUGAAUGAUGUGUUUAAAAUUAGAAUUGUAUAAAGAAGUUAUGCUAAAUUUUGGAUAAAUUUAUCCUAUAAAUGAAUCUCAUAAGAUUUAUGUUGAAUAAUUUAUCCAUAUUUGACCAUUUUCAAGUAUUUAAGUACAUAAAAUAUAUAUUUUUAAUUAAUAAAUCUUUAAAAAAACAAAUCGCCUAUACCUCGUUUGUCCAGGCUUUUGCCUGCGGGUUACCGCCAGCCUAUCGCUUAGCGCCUUUUAGAACAUUGGUUGUUAAAUACAGAUAAUAUGGAUAUUAAAUGGUACCACUAAGAGUAACCAUGUGAAUUUCGUUGUCGAAAAAGUUAGGCACUCAAUAACUUUCUUUUGAAAGAGAGUUAUGGAAGCUUGAUUUUCUAUAUUUGCACAAUUAUGCACUACAAGCUCAAAUAACAUAAACUCGAUUUGGAACGAUUACCUUCCUAAAAAAUGUUAAGCACCUUAUGCGUCCGACAUGAACAUGUUCAAAAUUGAUAGGGCAAUGAAGAACAAUAAGACCUAAUUUAUGUUAGUAGUUAGUAAGUACAAUCCCACUUUACACUUCUCUGCCUAACUGGUGAUUGCAAAAUCUGCAACCAGGUGAGAGCAUGAUCACUUUGAACCUACUUUUUCCAGUCCCGUAGCACACACACACCCAAACGUGGCCUAUACAAAAGCUUCUGAAUUCUGAAACCAUUUGGCCCCGAGCAGAUCACAGUCGAAUAGUACUGGCUUGAAUCCAAGCCAAUGUAUCCAACAUAUAUUGCAUACUGGUCCAAAUUUGUAGAUAGGAAUCAUAGCAGGAUUGGAUAGCAAUGGCAUCAUCACUCUCUCCAAGUCUCGACGAAUAUUCAAACCAUUCCCAGCUAUCACUCGUGUUUGGGUCCCUCUAUCUAUCCCAAGAUCAGGAAAUUAGGUUUGCAACAUAACAAAGAUGGGUCCAUCAACAGAGACUCAUACUCAAUCAGAGAAUGAGAGAGUGAGAGAUCAUGAUCAUGAUCAUGCCAAGGAAUCAUUACAACUUGAAGAUAUUCAUAAAGGGCCCAUUUAUUGCUUAAAGGGUACUAAUAAUGCUAGCGAAAGAGUUGAGUCGAUCCACCGAUAAACAAAGAUUAGUAUGACACGUUAAGAUAUACGACAUACAUGGGAGCAAAUUUGCUCCCCACCCAAACUUACCCACCCUCAUACCCACCCUUCUAUAUGGAUGCCAAGUGUCUUAUCCUCUAAUCACCUUAACCAUGGUUAACUACAUGGGUUUAUAAAUUAUAUUAUCUUCUAACUCUAAUUCUUUUCUUUUUCCUUUCCCUCUUUUUCUAAACAAAAUACUCAAACCUAACAAAUUUAGGACUCCUCAUAUUUUGAGGAGCAUCUCUAGUGUCGGUGUUAUCAACUCAAAGUCAUAUUCACGUCGGAUCCAUUCACGUCUGGGUUCUUCCUCCUUCUCAUAUCUCUUCCCUUUUGGUUUCUCUUGUAAGUAUGAAGCUCUGUUAAUCUUUCAUGUUUUUGUUCUUCUCCUUCUGGUAAUUGUGAAUUUCUGAUAAAGUCUAUUGAUCAGAACCCAUCGUCUUAUGCAUAGCAGUGGACUGUGAGGUUGAAUCACUUUCAUGAUCAUGUCUUGUGAGGUUACAAUCUGACAAGGUAUAUAUGAUGCUAUCAAUUUUUUUUCAUGAAUAAGCCAAUUUCCCUCUCAUUGAAUUUAAGAUGCAUCAGUUUGGCUUUGGCAGUUCUCAUGAAUGAGCCAAUUUCCCUUUCCUGAAUGCUACUGCAAAUUUUAAUAUGUACUUAGUGUUAUUAUGUUCAAUGUCAAUAGUUGGUUACUGCAAAUUUCUAUAGUGAUGUNNNNNNNNNNNNNNNNNNNNNNNNNNNNNNNNNNNNNNNNNNNNNNNNNNNNNNNNNNNNNNNNNNNNNNNNNNNNNNNNNNNNNNNNNNNNNNNNNNNNNNNNNNNNNNNNNNNNNNNNNNNNNNNNNNNNNNNNNNNNNNNNNNNNNNNNNNNNNNNNNNNNNNNNNNNNNNNNNNNNNNNNNNNNNNNNNNNNNNNNNNNNNNNNNNNNNNNNNNNNNNNNNNNNNNNNNNNNNNNNNNNNNNNNNNNNNNNNNNNNNNNNNNNNNNNNNNNNNNNNNNNNNNNNNNNNNNNNNNNNNNNNNNNNNNNNNNNNNNNNNNNNNNNNNNNNNNNNNNNNNNNNNNNNNNNNNNNNNNNNNNNNNNNNNNNNNNNNNNNNNNNNNNNNNNNNNNNNNNNNNNNNNNNNNNNNNNNNNNNNNNNNNNNNNNNNNNNNNNNNNNNNNNNNNNNNNNNNNNNNNNNNNNNNNNNNNNNNNNNNNNNNNNNNNNNNNNNNNNNNNNNNNNNNNNNNNNNNNNNNNNNNNNNNNNNNNNNNNNNNNNNNNNNNNNNNNNNNNNNNNNNNNNNNNNNNNNNNNNNNNNNNNNNNNNNNNNNNNNNNNNNNNNNNNNNNNNNNNNNNNNNNNNNNNNNNNNNNNNNNNNNNNNNNNNNNNNNNNNNNNNNNNNNNNNNNNNNNNNNNNNNNNNNNNNNNNNNNNNNNNNNNNNNNNNNNNNNNNNNNNNNNNNNNNNNNNNNNNNNNNNNNNNNNNNNNNNNNNNNNNNNNNNNNNNNNNNNNNNNNNNNNNNNNNNNNNNNNNNNNNNNNNNNNNNNNNNNNNNNNNNNNNNNNNNNNNNNNNNNNNNNNNNNNNNNNNNNNNNNNNNNNNNNNNNNNNNNNNNNNNNNNNNNNNNNNNNNNNNNNNNNNNNNNNNNNNNNNNNNNNNNNNNNNNNNNNNNNNNNNNNNNNNNNNNNNNNNNNNNNNNNNNNNNNNNNNNNNNNNNNNNNNNNNNNNNNNNNNNNNNNNNNNNNNNNNNNNNNNNNNNNNNNNNNNNNNNNNNNNNNNNNNNNNNNNNNNNNNNNNNNNNNNNNNNNNNNNNNNNNNNNGGUUACCAAGUUAUUCCCCAACUUUGGCGAUUACUCACUCAUGAAUUCGCAGGUUUCUAACUUUUUGAUCCUUGUUAAGAUAUACUUGUUAAACUAAUAUUUUCUCAAUUCAUAGCUAAAUAAUAAGCACUAACAAUAUCUUAUAUACGUACAUUUGACAGGAAACUGCCCGACCAAUACCUGAAGGAUCAGCUCGUCAACUAAACUUUGAUCCAUCAAUGUCAUAGCCUUCAUUGUUGAAACUAGGAGUUAGUAUUUGCUCUCAAUAUUUUGUCCGAGGCACUCGAUCUAGAAAAAAAAACAGUACAAUUGGAUCUAUAUUUGCUCUCAUUAUGGUGUUAUGAUUUUCAUUGAAUUCCCUCGCAAUGAAAGGAGUUAUAUAUUGUAAUUUUUUGUGCUCGUUAACUUGUCUCCAGUUCUAGUUUCUAUCUUUGGAAAGAACUGCUUGGGAAGUUUUUUCUUCAUGAAAACUAAGUUGGUCUUGCUGAACAAAAGAAAAAAGAAAAAAAAAACGACUUGCUGAAUAUGGUAUUUAUACAUACCUAGAUGUUAUAUUUGUUUAAUCUUGAGUGUCCCUAAAUUUGUUAGGUUUGAGUAUUUUGUUUAAAAAAAGAGGGAAAGGAAAAAGAAAAGAAUUAGAGUUAGAAGAUAAUAUAAUUUAUAAACCCAUGUAGUUAAUCAUGGUUAAGGUGAUUAGAGGAUAAGACACUUGGCAUCCAUAUAGAGGGGUGGGUAUGAGGGUGGGUAAGUUUGGGUGGGGAGCAAAUUUGCUCCCCGACAUACAUCAAUUGAGAAUCAGUAUAACUGGUAAGGAUAACAUUUAUCAAUUGAUUGAGAAAUUGUGAAACUACUUUAUUUUUGGUUAAAAAACGAAAUUGUGAAACUUUUUAUAGAUCGAAGUUUAAUUUUUUAUCGUGUCUAUUAUUUAUUUUAUUUUCUCCAAAUAAAGAAGAAAAUGGAUAAGCAUAAGCAUUAUGGAGAAGUUGAGUUACAUGCCCAAAAGAGAGAACCUAGGGGUCCUCUUUGUCAUGUUGUUGGGGUGGUCACUGUUUAGACACAUCUGUCUGUCUCUUGGAACUUAUAGUGCUUUGUUUUAAACUACCUAUGGAAUACUUUAAUUUUCUACCAUCAAGAGGACCCUCAUUGGUGUUACAUUACAACCAAAAUAAACAAAUGAAAAAUGGGUCAAAAAAGCCCAUCGUCUCCUUAUCUGAGAUUCUGUUCUUGUGGUGGUGUGUGAUUGGGAACCAUAAACAUUAUAUCUCAAAAGCUGCUUUCUCUCCCAAUUAUUUCAGAGCAUCUUUCACAAAAACACAAUCACAAACAAGCCAAAGCAAAAUCUCAUUCCAAAAACCAAGUGUGUGUGAAAAAGGAGCCAAGCUUUGGAUUCAUGGUAGAUUUACUGUGGAAACAGACUCUGCUCCCACCUGUUCACUUCACCACUUCAGUUUCUCAGUUCAAGCUCCAGAAAGGAGAGACUUGCUUUAGUGCAAGAAGCUGGUUGAGAAAGGGAAAGAAUAAAACUAUAAAAGGGUUUUCUUCAGCAUCAAAAGCUAAUGUUGAUCCUUAAUGAAAAAGGAGAUUCAUGUAUAGACACACACCAGAUUUUUUAGUGUCAUUGUUGACAAGCACAAAAAGUUAAAUAAAAGCUGUACUCUUUCCUUUUCAUUAUCUAUAGAUUUUGGAAUAAGGAAUAAUUUAACUCUCUUCAAAUUCCCCAAGCAAAAUCAUAUGCUUUUUGACAAAUUGGAAAAAGGAAGAAAACCCCAAAAGAGGAUUAUAUCAUCACACAAACACUUCCAUCUUUUCUCUUCAAUUAGAUCCAAGAGUAACAAGACUUACAUUGAAAUAGAGGAGGCAAUUAUUGUCUUAGAAGUGAGUGAAGAAAGAUCUAGGUGACAGUAGUUCACAGAUACAGUAAAAAAGAAGUUACACAGAAUCUAAUUAACCAUCUAUUUAAUUUCUUCCAACCAUGAAAAUGAAUUAACAAGACAAUUAUUGUUCUAUGAAGGCCUAUUCCUCUUGUGCCCAGCUUUACCAUCUGAUUUCAAAGCACCACCACUGGAGUCUCCCUCAGAUGAAGUCUCCAUAGAUUUGGUGAAGGAGCUUGAGAGAUCAGCAUAGAGUUCUACCACCCUCCUGAUAUUGUUGUUGAGCUCUCUGAUCAGACCCACAUUUCUGCUCAGGUUGUCAGGGAUCUUAGACUCAUGGUUUUGGUUUAUCUCAUUUAUGAGCAACCUGUUCUGGUCCAAGAUAUCCUGGACUUGACCAAAGCUCUUCUGAAAUGUCUGCAACACUUUGCCAUCAAUUUGGGUGCCAUUGCCUACUAGCCCAGAAAAUGUGUCCCCUUCCAUUUUGUAUGUUUGAGUUUCUGGGUCAGAGAAUUGUACACCACCAAAUCAGAACCAGAACCAGUCCUGCAUCAUCAAAAAAGACACAUUCUUUAUUCAAUAAACAAUAUAAAGAUGUCAUCUUUUAUCACUCUUCUUCUUCCACUCACCAAAAGAAAACCCAGAAAAGCAAAACAAAACACAGCAGUAAAAACAUGAAGCAGGGUUGGAAUGCUUCAAGGCAUUUUGGUGUACAUGAGACAAGUUCUGCAGAAGAAAAUCAUGAUCUCCAUGGCUUCUUGUUUUUGACAGAACCAGCAGUUAAUAAUAGUAAAAAACUUAUUAUUUUUAUUAUCAUUGGUAUUGUUAUUUAUGAUGAGAUGGGGAAAAAGCAGAUCCCAUUUCCAUAAAAAGGAGCCUUUUUUAAUGUACUAAGAAAUGCCCACCUAAAGCUCAGAGUUCCCAAAGAAGAAUCUCAAGUACCACACAAAAAAAAAUUAUAAAAAAAAAAAAAAAAAAACCAAGUCAAUGAUGCAGAGAAGAUGAGGCCAUGAGAGUGGUACUGCUGCAGAGACAGCAUUAUUAAUCUUUACAAGCAACCUAAGAAAAAAGACCAGAAAUUUAUUGCAAAAAAUGGAAAUUAACUUAUAUAAAAUGGGGUUUUGGAAGCAAAUUACAUAAUUCCAAACGAUUUUCAAAAGUAGGACAAACAAGGACUGAUUGGGGAAUUCCAACGUUAACCGUACUCGAAAAUUUGCAGUUUGCAGAAGAAUAACAUUUCCGGAAGUAGAAAAACAAUACUGAAUACACUCAUUAAUAUAUAAAUAUAUAAUCUGUAAUUCUGUAUAUAUGUAUUUUACUAUUUUACAACUGCAAACUCCUCCAACACCAUAGAAAAAUCUCCAAAUUUUCAUUUGAGGAACAAAAACCAGAAUUUCCAGAAUCGAGGAGAUGAAUGUGUUAAGAAACCCAGGUGAAAACUCAGCUUGACAAGAAAGAAAAACAAACCCAGCUGAGAAAAAGAGAGAAGAUAUUCUUUGGUUUCAGCUUUCCAAAGAAUCAUAACCCAGAUAAUUAAAUAAAUAAUAAAUAACAUACCUUGAAAAUCUGGAACAUUAUAUUCUGCAAGAAGACAGAGAUUGAGGCAAGGAAGGAAGACGACGAUUUCCCGAAAAACGUUGCAAGAAAUCGGCGAUUGAAUCGAAUCUCCGGAAAACACAGAGAGUGGGAGAGAGAGCAGAAGAAAGAGAAAGAAAGAAACAGAGAGACAACAACACAAGGAGGAGAGAAAGGAGGCUUCUUCUCUCUGAAAAUUUUAUUUUAGAGAGAGAGAGAGAGAGAGCAAAGAAAGAGAGAAUAUGUAGAUUUGACAGUCACGCUCGGACCCUCUCUUUCUCUCUCUCACUGUGUGUCUAAAUGUUUUUGUUUUUGUUUUUUUGGAAAUAUUCAUAUUUAUUCAUGGUAUAUUAUUAAUGAUAUAACAUCUAAAUCCCACCCUGUUAUUUCCCUAUUUUAUUUGGUAUGGUUUUUGGGGAUUCAGUUGGGAUUUGCUUGGGUGUGUUUCCUCAUAUGAUCAUGAACCCAAUAAUAUUAGGGGACCCUUUAAUCUUAAUCACACUCUUUCUUAGUGAUUUCCUUCUCUAAUUGUUUACUCAAUGAAUUGUGAUUAUGAUUAUGUGUGAAUUGGGUAAGGGGGUGGAUCCAAAUCUAGAUCUAUGGCCUCAUACAAAUUGGGUCUUGGGUAUUAAUGAUGGAACUGUUGGAAUUUAAGAAUCAACUUUGUGAUUGAAUGUGUAGUGUGUGUGAGUGUGCUCCUAUCUACUUGUGUAGUUGUAGUUGUUGUGAUUAGACAAAUAAAGUGUGUUGAUGUGGGAGUUGAUCAACUAUAAGAAAUAGAGAGCACAAACCUCACUCCAAUAGAGAUCCAACAAGAUAGAAGGGAUGGAUUAUGAGAGGUGGCAAAAAAGGAAAAGGGAGAUAUUUUCAUGCUUUUUUAAGAAAAUUUGCUUUAUCAUGUAAAAUUGAUUUUGUUUGAACGUUGCAUCGCUAGAGUAGUAGAAAGUAAAACGUUAUUAUUGUAUAAUCUAUAGUGAGUACGUAUUAUUAAAACGUAAAGUGUUGUCACGUGUAUUUUUUUACCUCUUUAUUUAAGCAUUAAAAUUGGUCAUACAAAGUGUCUAGUCUAGAAAUAUAGGAUGUAAUUAACUACAACUCAAUAGGCGACCGUUAUGAUACGUUUUGGACCUGUUGAACUUGUAAGUUUUAUACACCUUACACGAGUGUGAUGAUAUAUCACAUUUUAUAUAUGUGAAAAGUAUGUCACCUUGUUCAUCAAAUGUAAGCGGAGUCAAGUGUAAGUGGAGUCAGAUUGAUCUGUAUAUACUCAUUAAAUAAGUGGAUGAGUUGUGAUCAGGGUGGCACUCGAACUCAUAACUAGUUGGUUCUCCCUUAUAUGCGUUGAGGCUUAGUAAUUUCAUAUAUUGUUUCGAUUAGAUUUACCUUACCGCCAACAAACUAGACAAGUAGUGUAUGUUAUAGUAGAACACCUGCAUUCAUAUAUUGCAGUACUUUUGUAAAGAGGGAAGAAGUCAACAAAGUGUGCUUCAACAUUCACGCCUGCUUUGAAAUCAAGGCAAUAAAGAAACAAGUUAAUCACAUUCACUAUUAGACUCAUCAUUCCAGGCUUUGAAAGGGAUAAAAACUUUAACCAUCAUCAAGUAUUCUUACCCAUUAAUAAACCUAAAGAUAUUCACUAAAAGUGAAACUAAUCAACUCCAUGCUCAAAUAAGCAGUGAUACAUUUUCUAGUUAAGCAGUCAUAGUACUAUUAAGCUUGAAAAUGGGAAAUAUGUACUCUAAUUAAAAGAAAAGUAAAAGAAAAAAGAAUGAAGCAAAAUCCAGGGAAAGAGUUUAUCCAAGAAAACAAAAUAUCCUGGGAAAGAGUCGUUUUCAGCGAAUCAGACAGGGACGCGUGUAACGUGAGGCUCGGAAGAUCUGGCAGUCAGGUUCCGAACCUAACCAGCCUCCCAGACCUCCUGAUUUGCUCUCUGCUGCUAUUACUGCUCCCUGCUUUAAUUCUUCCGUUCGAUGUGGGCCCCACGCUUGGUUCAAACGUAAUAUAUGUCAUUAUUUUCCAUUAUUGUUAAUUUCCGAAAAUUAAAUAAAUAAAUAUAUAGCUGUAUCAAUGUAUCAUGUGGGCACGCUGUCCGAGGCUAAUGUUUUUGUACGUUGUAUUUGUAUUUUAAUCCGUGUAGUCUCCGUAUGAUUAUCAACUACAUUAGCGUUUCUCAAGUUUAUACAUCCACCAAGAGACUUAUGUAUUUUUAUCUUUUUGAUCGAGCUAGCUGUUCAUGAUAAUUCUGUAAAAUUACAUAAUGAUUUCCCCUUACACAGUUUUUAGAUAUUCAAUUCAAAUCUAAUCAACGAUGCGUUCAACAAGUGAAAAUUUCACUUAACUAUUUCACUCUUUUUAGUCAUGUGAUUUACGUUUCUUAAAAGACUUAUUUUUUGAUUAAUUAUCUAGGAAAAGUCUGAAAUUUGGAUCUAAUAAAUUAAUGAUCAUCCAACAUGCAUCUUCGUACACGCUAACAAGUUUUAAUUCAAAUUAUGUUUGGAUCUUAAUUUUCAAGGUCGUGAGUUGUGACAUGUUGGUUAGCUAGUCUAAGUAGUAAGUAACAAUGUGGAUAUCAUGAUUUCAUAUCUUACUGAUACCAAUGAUGUAGAUUAAGCGAGUUACAUUGCCGUCCAUAAUAUAAAAUAAUGAACAAAAAUAGAAAUUUGGUUGAUGACUGCAUUAUUCACUUAUAGUAUUACAUAUCGGUUCAUGAUUUAGGUCUCAUGCUCGGUUUCAUGAAGGAGCUAUAGUUUUCUUCUUAUGUGAAAGUGACCAGUUAAUUAGUCCGAUAAAAGGACACUUUGAUGCAUAAGAAACUAGCAAGAUAAGAUUCGAGCUUCAAAUCACACUACUGAAAGAUAUUGUAUUUUGUAACCUAGCAAACAAAAGAGAUUAAGAAUUAAGAAAGAAAGAAGAAGAUUAUCAAUUAACUAAUCCAAUCUCAAAUCCAUUUGCCAAUAAGAUUCUCAUUGACAUAUCACUUUCCUAGUUUCCUACUUAUAUAGAAUUAUAUACCCCCAAACCAUAUGGGUCACGCUAAUUAAACUAUAUGUAGAUUAGACAACCAGUAAUUAAGUGGAAGAAUCUCUUUGGCAUUGUCCUUGUCACAAGUUGAAGUGAUGAAACAUAAUAAACAAGCUAGGGUUCUUGGAGAGGGAAUGCUUCAGUAGUCGUCCGUGCACCGUAUCAGCACAGUCAUUCUCUCUACGGUCAUCUUGCUUCUGGGUUGUGAUUGGUUUUGUUUAAUACUGGAGAUCAGAGUAUAGUAGGGUUUUUAAAGGACCAAUGAUUUCAAUGAUUAUCUGUAAUCUCCAGGAUUGGUUUUCUAAAUCGGAGACAAUCCGGAGGCAAAUGUUUCAGUUUCCACUAAACACGCGAGGGUUUAUAAUAUUCUUCAGCCUCUUCCUCGAUCUCUCUCUUUUUGGUGGAUGAUGGAUUCUUUUUAUUUGAUAUUCGAUCUGAUAGGGCCAAACUGAGCCAAAGCAUAUACUGAAAUUUCAUAUCAGUGUGAUUUGACCCUUACCAGGUUGCUCAGGUUGUCAUCCCAUUACGACGUAAACUCUUUAACUUAUGAAGAAAGUGGCUUAGGUAAGAUCUGAUGGAGUUCAUACAGAGUCGUCAUUCGAUCAUUGGCUUUGAUACUAACAUGAUUUAUCGUUUUUGACCUAAACUUUUGUAGUGAUCGAUGUGGAUCCAAGUGAAUGUGUUUCAUAAUGUUGAGGCUGCUUUGGGAUAAAGGACUAGCUAACAGCAUACACUGGAAAAUUUGGAAUUUUGCAAGGUGAACUUGGAACAUUAGAGUACGUAUUGACAUCGAGGCGGAGGCGUGGAGCUAAGUACGUAGAUCGAUCUCUUGGAUAUGGUAAUAAGAUGAUAGUUAGAGCUAGCACAUAACACAGUAUGAAAAUUACGGAUACUUGCGAAAAUUUCAUAUUGGCUCUUUGAUAAAAAUGCGACUAAAUUAGAACUAGAUACACCGGUUCACAAAUGAAUGGAGAAAAGUUUAUGAUCGCACUAGUUAUCAACACGAUUACAUUUGCUUUCAACACCUUGUACCUUUGAAACAACGUGUGUGAGAUUGAGCAUUGAGUAGGUUUUUCUGGAGUAGGAAUAUAUUAGAAGAUGCAUGGAUAAUGACGAUCAGUCCCUUCCGAGCAAGUAAUGUUUAAUUAUAUGAUGAAUGAUAAUCUGAAGAAACUACUUGUCCCUACUGCUAUGGUCCUGGCUUAUCUAUCGACAAUCGUCCUCUCUUCUGUUCCUUUAAGUUGGUGACCUAUAGUUGUCUGCUCACUGCUCAUAGUGCAUGCCCAAAAUCUUUUAACCUUAUUAGGCCUCAUGUACCCCACAACAAACAUAUAUGCAUGAUCAAUAGCAUUUGUAAUUUACUACUGUUCUCUUCUGUUUUACAGGCUCUCAAGAGUUUUGAAGCUCUAGAGCAGAACAUUAUUGUUGAAUUAGUAUACUGUAUGAAGAACAAUAGCAACCAACUAAUUCACUCAGAAACAUUAUACUAAAACUUUUGCAACUACAUAAGUAGCUAGUAAUGUGCAGUCGGCAUUCGAAUGCAGAUGAAACCUAUCGCAUCAUUCGCUGGUGUGCACCCAGUAUUGCCAGUACAUAUAUGUACCUAAACAUAUAUACAUCAGAAGAAACAAGCCAGAGAGGAAAUGACCCUGAUGACAUUUAUAUUUUUAUGAAAGCUACGUACCUAAAUAUGGAGUGGACCAGAAGUACUCGAUCUGGUUCCUCGGUUGGUCCUAUCAAUGUUUUGGUGCCUCUGUAAUGUACUACUGGAGCUAGCUAGCUUCAUACUCGAUCCAUGAUUCCAUAUAUUGUAUACCCUAUGUCAUCAUGUAGAUUCAUUGUAAUCAUCUAGACCUGUAUAUAUGUAUACAAAAACUUCUUUGUCAAUCUCGCCCACCACCAAGAUCAAAGACCCACAACUUAUAACAACCAUUCAUUCGCAUAACAUAACCUCCUUCAUUGCCAAGCAUUGAUCUCUAUCACUUUACAAUGGCUCAGGCUCUUCAGGUUCUCUGUCUCUCUGUCUCUCUGUCUCUGUCUCUGUCUCUCUCAAGUUAACUAACUGAAAUGUUAACUGCAUGGUUAAUUUAGGAGGAAUUUAAAGAGUAUGCAGAGAAGGCCAAGUCUUUGCCCUCAACAACAAAGGAUGCAGAUAAACUAGUACUCUACGGCCUCUACAAGCAAGCAACCGUUGGCUCCGUCAGUACUAGUUAGUAGUCGUAGAACCCUUAAUCAGAUUACUUUGCAAGAUUUAAUAUACUCCACACUCCUUAAUCCUUAAGUAUGUCGGUGAUGCAGAUCGACCAGGGUUCUUUAGUCCAACUGAGAGGGCCAAAUGGGAUGCUUGGAAAGCAGUUGAAGGUACCAAACCCAGUAACCCUACCUGGCUAAUAAUACAGAACCCUAGCUACAAUCCAUCAUCCAGCUUCUUCUUAUUUUUAAGAUAUAGUGUAUGUGUUAUUAACUUAAUGUGUAUGUGAAUGUUACUCAGGGAAGAGCCAAGAAGAAGCAAUUGCUGAAUACAUUGAAAAGGUGAAGCAGCUGCUAGCAGCUUCUACAAAUACGUACAAGAAUGAUUGUUCAGCAUCGGUCUCUUUCAAUUAAACCAUCACUGUUCACUCUAUAAAUGAAUGGAACAUUGGAACAUAAUUUCCCAUGUAGUGUUUCAUUAACACGACUCAUAUAUAUGCCGACUGUAAUAAGGAGAUUGCAAUCUUCAUUGUUUUGUGACCCUAACUUUCUCAGCAACAUUGACUGUUGGAUGAAGUACGUACUGGUCCUAAAUUUCAUAGUAAAGUCUAUCGUGUAAACUUCUCUCUAGCUAUUGUGUAUUAAAAUGCUUUUAGUUUGUUGAGGCCAAAAAAUCCAGCUAGCAGGCCCAAUUAAUUCGUUAAGCCCGAUUCAUGCUUUAAAUCGAAUUAUACUCGCAAACAUCAUGUCAUACAUGUGGACCUAAGUCACAUUCAUGCACUGGGGCUUUCAAGAAUGGGUGUGGUAUGGAAGGUAACAGAAAAACAUGAGAUCUGCUAUUAGUUUUAGGAUCAUUGGUAAUUUUAGACUUGAGACCGAAAUUCAUGCUUAACGACCUAAUUCCUAAUACGGAUAAAUGAAGAAGAGAGGCCUAAAAGCCAAACCCAAACCCUUUAAGAUCCAAAUAAAAAAUAAGCUUCUUAUUUCCAGCCACAUACUAAAAAAUGAGGCAAAAACAGCAACAAAAUCCCAGCUUUAGAUUUUCUGCGUGAAAGCUGCCCAAAGCCUACAAUCACAUCUUUCAAAACCUAUUCUGCAAUUACAUAGCCUUAGACACAAUCUAACAAACCAAAAAGACACUACAAAACCCAAUAUAUGCUUUUAACCAAGCCAUCCUUUUUACCCAACAGUAAAAACCUCAAACCAAGAUUCCUUAUAAAUAGCUGCUGUUAUCAACCAAAGACAACAACUAGAGAGGGUGCUAGCAAGCUCUCUAGCACUUUUCUUCUCCCAUGCUUCCUUAGUCUUCCGUCCAUCCCAAUUCACCUUAUGUCUAUCUCAACCCAUACACAAGUUGCCAGGAUCUCUUCUUCGUAAACUUAUGCUUUUUUUAGCUCCCACACCACACACAUCUUGCUAAGUCCUUCAUUGAAACAAAUGUAGUUGUUGAUCACCGUCGUUGAUGAAGAAACUGCCGUCAAGAAGAACAUAACAACAAGCUUUUGAGGAUUCUUAGUCCUUCAAAGUUUUCUGGGCCUAGUUUCCGCUAAUUCAGAUGAAGGGGACGACAUUUUUAGGCUUGGCCAUGCUUAUCUCACUAUCGUACACCCUUAAUCAAAAGUGCCCUCCAUAGAGUUUACAUAGCAGUAGCCGAAUAGCAAGCAAUGAUUUAUAGAUGAAUACCAUUUCAUUAUAUCUGGUCAGCUCCUUAGUCCUUAACGUAAAAGAAUAGUGCGCAAAAACUCAUACAACAUGUUCCUUUUGAAUUCUUACUUUCGCAACAGAAAUAUUUAUAGUUGGACUCCGGUGUCACAGAGACCGGCCGGAUGCAGGCUUCGGCUUAGACGAGUACGUGAUUUCAAAUUCCAGUGCCUCAACUUCCACAAUUUCUCGCAUAAUCCUUCUUUUAGAUGCCAAAUGUGACUCCUUAUAAGUGUGCCAUUUCCUACAUUCAAAGUUUCAAACAAAAUCCCACCUGAUAAGUUGGGCCUGAUCAAGUUGGGCCCGUGCUAUCAUCUUAUAAGGCGGGCUUGUUUAGCCCAAAGUCAGUACCGGAGCUUCACUCCAUCACCAUCAGUAAACCCAGAUCCCUCGCUCACCUCACUCCUUUCUUCUCACUCUGUCCGGAUAUGACGGCGACUCUGUGUCUCAAAGCCACUCGCUCCUUCCUAAACCCUCGCCCCUUCUCUCGCUCCCUCUCACCUCCCAAACCCCACCGCCACCUCCUCUCUUUCCCCAAAACCCUCGUCACCGUCACCAUGUCGUCAUCCCCCGUCGUCGUCGAGCACGUCGUCCUCUUCAACGUCAAACCCGACACCGACCCCUCCAAGGUCAACUCCAUGGUCAACGGCCUCAACAACCUCACCUCCCUCGAUCUCACCCUCCACCUCACCGCCGGUCCUCUCCUCCGCACCCGCUCCUCCCCCUUCGCCUUCACCCACCUCCUCCACAGCCGCUACAGCUCCAAAGACUCCCUCGCCGCCUACUCCGCCCACCCCGGUCACCUCAGCGUCGUCAAGGAGUCAGUUCUCCCGAUCUGCGAUGACGUCAUGGCCGUUGACUGGGUCGCCGACGGGCUGACUGGUCCGGUGGGGUUGGCCCCCGGGUCGGCGAUCCGGGUCACGUUUUUGAAGGUGAAGGAGGGCUUGGAUGAGGCGGCGAAGGGUGAGAUUUUGGAGGUGAUUAAAGGGAUUAAGGGGAAGUUUGGAGAGGUGGGGCAGAUUAGCGUUGGUGAGAACUUCUCCCCGGCAAGGGCUAAAGGGUAUUCGAUUGCGUCUGUGGCGGUUUUCAAGGGAGUGAGUGAGAUGGAGGCUGUGGAUUCGAAAGAGGAGCUUGCGAAGCUGGAGAAGGACAAGGUUAGGGAGUAUUUGGAGAGUGUUAUUGUUCUUGAUUACGUUGUUCCUUCGCCGCAAUCUGCUAGUCUCUGAAAUUUUUCGGAUUCGGGUAAUUCACAUUCUCCUUCCUGAAGUAGGAGUAAUGAGUAAUGUAAUUUAGUGUUGGUGAAAUAAGGUGUUACUGAGAAUUUGGCUGGAAUUUGGUUUCGGGUGUUGGAAAUUCUCAACACUCUGGCUAAACUGUAUCACAUUGAUGGUUGAUGCAUUUCUUCAAUUUCAAUUGCAUUCCUAAUUUGGUGAGAUGCGUUUGCUGAUGUUUGAAACCUUCCUUCCAUUAUUGUACAUUUAUAGACAUCGAUUAUGUUGUUAGACUUAGGUGCCUCAGGGUUUGCUCUCUUGGUAUGAAAGUUGCAUAAGGUCAUAUGACAUAGUUUCAGAUACCGUCAGUAAGGAUACAGGGUGGUGCAAGAGCAUAUGCCCCUAUAAAGAAGGCUAAACUAAUAUUUAGACUCUGAAAGUGACACUUUUCAUCAAUGUACUUUGGUUUCUUGCACUGUGGGCUUCAUCCAUCAACUAUACAUGGCUGAUGUAGCUUGUGACUUUGUGAGCACCCUGUUUAGGCUUCUUUACAGCUCUGUUCAGUUAAAUUUUUGCGCAGUGUGCGUUAUAUUGGGGUGAGGUUAUGGUGCAUUGUUUCAUACAAUAGGGAGGUGCCGAGGUGGUUCGGUUAAACCCAACAUGAUAAUGAAGGCAAUCAAAAGGUUAAAUCGUUUUUGAUUUUGCUGUGUUUUGUCAUGAAUCAUUCUCGAAAAUAGACGGACAAGAAUGACGGUUUCUGUGUCCUGAUUUACGCUGAGAAUCACCUUCUUCUAUGCCCUAAGGUAAGGGAAGUUAACUCCACUAUCAUGGUUUUGGAAGAGUGGGGAUGAACUAUUCUCGUCCGUUCUAUCUCCCUGCAUACUUUGCUUGCAACCAUUCUCGUACUAGCUACAACCAUCUACGAGUACAUUGGUCGUUUUGCCGCCUCCAUUGUCACCAUUCAUGGCUGAACUGAAAGCCAGUUAGACAAGCACACUUAACUUGGGCCUGGACUUGUCCAUGAUGAAUUCCGAUGUCAAGAGACUAAGAAGAUGGACAAAUAAAGAUAAAGAUGGUCAGUAAAUUUGUAUCCUCCCGCCUACCGCCAUCUCUAUAAGUAAACCCAGGUCACUACUCACUAAACCCACUCGCCAGUACUCCAAGCUCAUUUGAUUUCUCACUCUCUCACCUCCAAACCCCACCGCACUUUCGCAUCAGCAUGUCGUCGUCGUCGGCCGCCCAAUCCGUCGUCGAGCACAUAGUCCUCUUCAAGCUGAAAGACAACACCGACCCCUCCAAGGUCAACGCCUGGGUCGACGGCCUCAACGCCCUGAGCUCACUCGGCCUCACCCUCCACCUAACCGCCGGCGCCCUCCUCCGCAUCCGAUCCUCCCCCUUCGCCUUCACCCACCUCCUCCACAGCCGCUACAAAUCCAAGGACGACCUCGCCGCCUAUGCCGUCCAUCCCACCCACAUCAGCGUCGUCAAGGAAGGCCUCCCGUUUUGCGAUGACAUCAUGGCCGUUGACUGGAUUGCGGAUGGGCUGACAGGCCCGGUGGGCCUCUCUCCGGCAUCCGCGAUCCGCGUCACGGUUUUGAAGCUGAAGGAGUUGGGGGAGGCGGCAAAAGGUGAGGUUUUGGAGGCGAUUAAAGGGAUCAAGGGGAAGUUCGGCGAGGUGGGUCAGGUCACAAUCGGAGAGAACUUCUCGCCGGGCAGAGCCAAAGGGUAUUCGAUUGCGUCGGUGGCGGUUUUUAAGGGAGUGAAGGAGAUGGAGGAGGUGGAUUCCAAGGAGGAGCUGGCAAAGCCUGAGAAGGACAAGGUAACGGAGUAUUUGGAUAACGUGAUUGUUGUUGAUUAUGUGGUUCCGUCACCGCAAUCUGCAAGUGUCUGAACAUGUAUUAUCGGAUUCCGGUCAUUCAAAUUAUGCUUUGAAAUAAGGUUAUGCAAUUAUCAUGGUACACUCUUGUUUGUAUAUUACCAAUGUACACUCCUGUUUGUAUGUAUCAGCUAUGAAGUAUCAUAUUGUGAAGAAUUUGUUUGAUUCCCUCCCUCCAUUAACACGAGAGUUCGACUGCUCUCUGGGUCAAAUAAGUUGAUUACUCUGUCUUGACAUGUCUAUGGAUGUUACAAAAAAAGAUUGUGAUAGAGAUGCGUGAGGCCUGAUCAUAAUUUCGAGUUAAUCAUCCUCUUUGUGUCACCGUAGCCAUCUGUCAAACAAUGUGUGCGUUAUAUACCCAACUGAAGCUAGCCAUAACAACAAUGUGCACAUUAUUUUUUUUAUUUUUUAUGCUAAAGCGACUAAAUUAUAAAGAAGAACUUUUAUAGCAACUAGCUUCAAAGAUGUCAAAAUUCAAAACAUGUCUAACAGUAACAGGAAAGUUGACCUCUCAACAACUAGGAUUUCCCAAAAAUGUGCAUAUUACUUGCUUAACAGUUAACACACACUAAUUCACUUGUACAUCAUUUUCUCGUUUAAUUUGAAGAGUGGAACCUUACCUUGAGAAAGUGUCAACAUUUCGGAAGAUUAUAUACCCAUUUCAACCAAUAGCAACAUCCAUAGAUCCGUCCCCUAAAAUUCAGAGGAUACAACAAGAGAGAAAAGCAAAUUUUGUAUAUAUGGAGAGGUAGAGGUCAUCACCACAGCACAUUUGUUCAAACUACAACACUUUUGGCAUUGCCAUCCAGCCAUAUAUGGAAUUGAAUCACAUGGUUUAUAUGGGAUUUUGAUGCCGACAAGUCUUCAGUCUUCACCGCCGGUGUGGACGGCUUAGAAGGUUAUAUCUUUAUCAAAGCCAAGAACAAAUGUGUUCUUGUUAGGAAGAUUAUAUGUUUCUGAUCAUAGAAUAAUACAAGUCCGAUAAAAGACGAAGACAUGGGGCAAGUGCUGUAUGUAUUAUUCAUCGAUCAUAAACAUAUAUAGAAAAAGAAGAACAAUCAAAUACGUAUUUGUAGAAGUAGUACGUGGUCCUGUAGCAGAUAUUGUUAGGUGCAGUAUGUGGCCUUCGAUCAACAGUGGGAGCUGGCCUCUGAAAAUAAUGCACAAUAUAGUGUAUGUACUACAUUUAUGUUUGAUCUGUAGCUGAUGUUGCUAGGUGCUGAAACAGGUGCAGCAUGUACUACAAUACUCCUAUAUUAUCUAUAUAUAGUUAUGCAUCUGCUGUCUGCACAUCUACUUUAGGGUUUCGUACUUUAUGCUGUAGUAGUCGAUAAGGACUUCAACAUCCACAUCUUACAUUGUGUUUGAUGACUUGAUCUAACUUCUUCACUUCUACUCAACUUACUAAGUAACAAGAAAGAAAAAGAAAGAGAGAGGGCGAGAGAUAGAGAUGAAAAUCUCAAAACACUGCUAACAAACAAGAGGUAAAAAAGGGAGCAUGGUCUGCUGAGGAAGAUGAAGUCCUCAUUCACUACAUAGAAACACUGAAACACAUAGAAGGCAAAUGGCCAGCAUUGAUCAAAUACUGCUCGUAUUUAUGGAUCUCAAUCACUGUACCUAGUGGCCGGCUACUGGUUUAGACCAAUAGUGUGUUGCCUUUUCGUUCAAGGAACACUAUAUUCCACUUCCAUGCAAGCUUUGCCUGCAUAUAAUGACUUACAGUUUUCUGCAGUAUGUCUAUAAUUUUCAGGCUCUACUGGUGAUCAAGUGGUUCCAUAGAUAAACAGGAGGGGCCGAAUACGUAUAGGUAAAUUCACAACCACCACCGGUGGCGGAUCUAGGAAUUAGUUUUCAUCUAGGCUAGUUUAUACCCUUAUAUGCGAUUUUUUUUUUUUGACAAUGUUGUUUCCAUGUCAAAAAGCUAUUUCAAGGAGCAUAAUAUAUAAUGUCCUCAAAAACCUAUUUUUCUUAAGAUAGGGGGAAGAAAAUAAGAAAUAGUAAUGGAAAAUAGGAAAUUAUUGUAGGAAAGAUAAAAGAAAACAAAGAAGAAAUGUAGAAAGAGGAGGAAGAUCGAACCCAGGCCAAAGCAAAGAAGAAAAUGUAGAAAAAAUAGGAAGGGGAAAACUGGUAUUCGAACCUAGGUCAGGAAGGGAGAUGAAAGUUUUGAACCUAGGUCAAGAAGGGAGAUGAAAGUUUUAACCGAGCCGGCCAUUUGCCAACUGAACUAUCUUGGAUAUUGGUUCACUAUACACAGGUAAUGGUAUAUAUCCAAAUAUUUUGUCUAAACUUCAGCCCAUAUAGCUUUUCAAGUAGAUCCGCCCUGACCACCACACGUAGAGUGUGUUGCAGCGGCGCAGCUAAUUUGCCAGCAUGAAAAAUUCAAUACAUCGCGGACCAAUCAAUGUGUUUUCCGAUCUCUCAGACUCUCUAUAUAGUAUAUAGUGACUCAACAAUCUCCUCAACUCUCUACGGGUGGCUAGGGAUCGAUUUCUUGUAUCUGUUCUGCAAAAAAGGAUAAGGAAAUUGUCCAAAAACAUUAAGACUCGACAUAAAAGCAAACCUAACCUUGCAUGGAGAGUCGACAAACAUGAGUCAUGAGAUUGAGACACAAGAGAUAGAAGCAUACCCACUCUAGGACAGGAGACCUAUUAUGGAAAUUAAAAAGACAGAGACAUCGUUUGUUUGCUAUUUGCCAAAUUGGGCUAUCCUUUCCUUUCGUUUUCGUUUCUUGAAGAGUGUACCUAGAAAUAAAGAAUAUGCAUAUGGAAAAUACCACUAUGUCGAGCAACAAGUUCAGACCGACCAAGUAUAAAAACAAGAGAUAUGUACGGCUCCAAGCUUUUCAAAUGGAGUGAAUAUAUAUGAUUCGUCCAAAUAUUGAUGAUUUAAGGAGGUGUAUACCAAAAUUAUGUUAAGAGUUAACACUUAUGAAUUUGAGACUUGGAGGACUAGCUAUUUCAAUGGAAAUACAUAGACAUGCAUGUUAUACCGUAUAUUAUACGUCUAAAAUGGAUAUGUGUAAUCUCAUGCAUACAUACAUGUAUGUACAGUAUGCUGUAUAGUUUUACGUAUUCGUUUGUCUGGACAAUGUGAGAUUACUUGCACCAGUGCACCACAGACAAUUAGAGGAGCUCUCUCUAGCUAGCAACGAAAAUACAGACUUCUUAAAAGAAAAUUUUGCACAUAUUUGUUUAUUAUGGUCUAUAUCUGCAUUAGUGCAUAUAUAUUUUUAUAUAUUUCAAGUGGUCCUAGAAGUAGCGUAUGUAGGUAGCCGAUCUUCAUUGGCAUAGUGUCAAAUGUGGCCGUGUGGAAGCCAAACCGAAAUUCAAAGGCACAUUCAUAACAAUGUAUUAUAUACAUGUAUUUAUACAGACGUAUAUAUGUAUGUCUCUCCAGUCCCCAAAUCUGCAGUAGUAGUCUCUACUAGUUGAAGCCCUCCAAAUAUCCAGAGAGAUGGGGAGAAAGCCAUGCUCUAACGAAAACAGUGUAAACAGGGGAGUCUGGUCUGCUGAGGAAGAUGAAGCCCUUAAACGAUACAUAAGAACUCAUGGACCAUGUAAAUGGAAAGAAGUUUCUCGUCGAGCUGGUGCGUAAUACAUUUGGUAUAUGUAUACUAAUUAAAAUCCUUUCAUUUAGUAGUACUACACAUAUAUCAAACAUAAAAUCCUUUCAUUUUUCUUUAUUUACCUGCUUAGAAUGUGUGUGUAGAAUUAAACCGUUGCCCGAAGAGUUGCAGACUGCGAUGGCGGAAUUAUCUGAGGCCUGGUAUUAAGAGAGGAAACAUUUCUGAGGAUGAAGAAGACCUCAUUCUCAGAAUGCACAAGCUUCUCGGAAAUAGGUACCGGUAUAUAAUAGUUUGUAUAUAUAGUAAACUACUCUUACUCUCAAGAUCUGAAACCUAACAAUGAGCAGGUGUGUACUAAUAUGAUAUGUUAGCAAAUGAAAUAGAAUGAAGUUUAUGUCGAUGUUUUGAAUCAAUAGGUGGUCUCUCAUAGCCGGAAGAUUACCAGGACGAACAGACAAUGAAAUAAAGAACCACUGGAUUUGUAAUUUGAGUAAGAGAUUCUUGGAGAAAGCUCCGCCAGACAACCAAAUUAUCAAGGCUCAUGACAAUUUUCAUCGUCCUCGCGGUGAAUCCAGUAACUGUAAUUUCAAAGAAGUUGAGGAUGUUUCUGGCACUGAAGAUCAAGAGAAAGCAGUCCCAUCUAAAAGUACUACAAUAACUGAAAAUUUACCACCAUCUUCUUCUUUAGUAGUUUCUGAUCAGCUUCCAGAACCAAAGGAUUCUUCUGCUACUUUUCUAGUGGAUCUUGAAAUGUACCUGAAUGAUCAUGACCUCCAAAAUAGUACAGAUAUCGACCAUGAUUUGCACCUAGCAGAAUGGAUCAAUCUAUUAAGUGGAGAUGACGGUGAUUUGCACCAAGAAGAAUUGGGUACAGAAUUCAUCAGUUUUCUGGCAGAUGGAACUCAGGAGCUUCAAGCAGAUUGGGAUCAAUUCAUGGAAGAAGCUUUGUUAUCAUCACCAUCAUGACGACCGAUUGAUGCAGAUCCAUGUGGAUCUCAAUGCCUUCAGCAUUUCUGAAUUCUGUAAUUCAAAACUCCUUCUUUAAUUAGUUCGACAUGCAUGCCCUUGAACGGGUACUAUAUAAUUCUUCCUUCGAGGUAAAGUUGUUUGCUUGUAAUUUAUGCUUAAUUUCCUCUUGAUUAAAUGAAUAACUAUGGUUUUUCCAUUUAAUAAAGUUUUUUUUUCGUUACAUAUAAAGUUUGGUGAGACUAUUAUCAAAUACCAGAUAUUUUAAUUUACAUCAGGACCUAUUAUAUAAACCCUCGAGAGCACAUAUAGAUGAAGUAACCUGUCUACAAUAUGCAAUCGCCCAUUAAUUGGUUGGUGUCGUUUUAAUUUGCCGAUGAACUAUAUAUGUUCUUGUCCAUUCCAUUUUUAUGCAAGUUUUUCUUAUUACAAUGAUUGAAAACGGUAGGGAGAGAUAGAUCGACAUUAUAUUGAAACAGAAAAUAACAAGCUACACAUAUGAAUGUGCUGUACGAUCCCUUUCAGACCUUUCCCAGACUAGUGGUCCUUUUGUUCUUCCAUCAAUAUGAGAAGGGGAUCAGACUAGCUUCUUAAGCUCUUGAUUUGCACAUGUCUGCAGAUAUUGCAGAGAGAGCGAGGGACGUGCUCCAUCCAUCUUCUUAAAGAUGCACUCGUCGCACGCUACCAUUGUUUAGAGUACGUUACUCAUCUCAUUAUACAUGCGUAAAGCUUAAAGUUUUCACAUAUAAUUCAAUAAUAUGAGUCGUUUACAGCUUAAUUUGGUUCAAUACUUUGAGCAAAUCAAGAAUUAAUUCUACGUUGUCAUUAUACUUCUUAUCGCUCUGUCCUACUGGUUGCAGUUGAAUUUAGAUCUUGCUCACCCUUUGGUGGCAUGGGUAUCUCGAUGCCGAUAAAAAUCAUUUGUGCUUCAUUGAUAGAAUCUUCCACUUGAUCACUAAAGAACAAGUUUGCAAUAAUUAAGACUUCAGCUAGUACUACUGGUUUACAUUAUCUUGUUUUAUAAUUUUUGCUAUAAACACAUUGUUUCCAGUAAUUGAACAAAAAGUUUGCUCCGUUUAAUUUUCUCCAAUAUCUUAUCAAACUAUACAUUAUAUUUCUAUAUCUCAUUUUCUCUUUAGGAUUGAGUAUGUAAACAAAAAAUUCAUGGUCUACAUUAUACAAUGCCCAAUAACUAUUAAUAGACUGUUUGUGGAUGACCUGAAUGAAACUAAAAAGGUCAUGCAUGCAUAUUUUGAUCAUAAAACGAACAAUGAAUUGAAUGACACUACAAGUCAUCCAUAUUUUGUUUCAUGUCAUCAUAACACUUCCUCGUCACUGACAACCAGUAAUAGAUUAAGAUUUAAUUUCAACGAGCUUCAAUGAGAGUCGAUCUUGCGUGUAUGAUCGAGUUCCAUACCUAAGGACAAUUCUAGGAUGAGUAUUCUUGACCGUUGGAUAUAAUAAAACUUUUGAAUAUAUCUAACGGUUUAGAUUAUUCAAUAUUGAUAACUUAUUUACUAGGUAGCAUGUAAUUUUAUAACUUAUAUAUGAAAAAUAUAAUCAAAAACAAAAACAUAAUUUAGAAAACCCUACCUUAGAAACAGAUCGAUGAAGAAGUCCGUUCCGUUUCGUUCCUCUACCGAUUUGCACCGAUUUGCUAAGAUAAAACCUAAAGUGAAGGAAGGAGAAAGAGGUUGGUCUUCACCUCUUUCAUCCAUUCAUCUCUAGUUCUCCACCUCAGAAGAUUAUCCUCUUUGAAGAGUUUAAGGUAUGAAUCAGAAGAUUCUCCUCAAUUUGAAGAGUUUAAGGUAUGAAUUAGUUGUUGGGUGUUUGAGUUUUUGUUUAGAAUCAAUUUGAUAUCAGUUUAGUUCGAUGAUAAUUGGGUAUGGGUUUUUGCUAUCAGAAAGCUGCUAAAUCAUGCUGUGGGUAUUUAAUUGAUAAUUUGGUGUGUUACUUGUACUGAUUCCACUGGUCUUCGUGCAUUACUUGGUGUGUUAUUUGAUAAUAUGGUUGAAUCAAAAUGCUUAAAAUUUGAUGCCCACCACCUGUUCGAUCAAAUGCUUCAGUCAGUUUCUAUGGUAUACAAUUAAAAACAUCGGUCUGUUUUCUUCUAUGUCAUAAUGAAUUGUCUUGAUUUUCCUGUUUAUGAAGUCUUAAUCGAUUAAAGCUUUUAGUUAUAGAGUUUGUUUCCAUCUCUCUGCAAAAUAACAAGAAUGGUUGCUCCCACUAGACUGUACAACUCAAUUGAUUAGUCAUCUGGUCUCAGAGUUAAUAUUCAUUCCAAUGUUAAUAAAAUGUUAAUAAUCCAUAAUCCUUUGUUAGCAUUAUCAAUAGGCGUAACAGAGUUGCAUCCCAAAUGGAUUGGUGUUGAACACAGGCAUUCAUAUAUUGUGACUAAACCUGGAAAUGGGAGCAUUCAUUUAUUCAUUCCAAACAAAAUUCCUACACUAGGACGCUAUUCUAUCAUUCCAUAGCAAAUUUACACUACCAGUUUCCUUAUGUCUGGUCUCAAUAAAAUCAGGUAAACUGUGUCCCCCUGUUAACAACAGACUUUAAACGUGAACAAUACUGUGGGAUCUUAAUCAGACUAUUUUUCGAUUUGUAGGAUUUGUAGAACCCAGCAGAAGAACAAAGACAUCUAUGGUGUAUAUGUACAAUACCAUUGCAGUGAUAUUAUAUACACAUGCAUUACUUAUGCUUAGUUUAUAGUGGAAGAACUGAGACACUCUUUCAUCAUCUCCUGAAUCCUUCUCUUCAUCAGCUUAUCUUCAACACCUUCAAGCAUAUUUUAAUAGAAUUUUUCCAACCUUCACCCGAUCUGCUGACUCUAACAUUCUGUCCCAUUCCCUUCUUUUAUCAUGAAUUUUGUUUCGAGUUAAUGUUUGUGGAGUUGGUAAGUUUUUGGUUGGCAUUUGGUUUAUGCAGUAAAUGUCGUUUGAUGUCUUCAGUCAAUUUUAUUGGUAAAGUUAUAAUCUGAUAAUGCAUUUUCAUUUUUCCUCUAUUAAUGUGCUCAUAGAUGUCCUUUUCUGGUCAUCUUGGUCUGCAGCUUGCUUCAUUUGAGAAGGUUAAGGAAGUAGAGGAGUUCUUCAAAGCCUAUCCUAACCCUGCCAUAACUAGAACCUUGAAGCAAAGCAUUGAGCGUGUGUAGAUUAACGCCAGGUGGUUGAAUGUUCAGGGUGAGAAAGAUCUUCCCAAGGUUUUGAAAGAGUUGCCUUCCAGCAAAUACUAGCCUUCCAUACUUGGCUGCAUCUAUUUGUUAUGAAAGAAUAAUUAGAAAGGAUUUUGCACCUGAAAGUCCGAAACUUGAUAUGCCAGUUUGAUUUCUUAUAUGAUCGGAUAAAUAGGAGUGCAGCCAGAAUGAUAUAAAUGGCUUUCUCUGUCAUUAAGAGUGAUGAACGAAUGCUAUUUUAUUAAAAUAGAAUUUUGUAAGAUUGAGAUAAAACUUCAGCUACUUUAUUAACAGUGAGAGCAAGAUUGAGAUAAAACUUCAGCUACUCACCGGAAAGGCUGAAGACAACGACAAUUUUGUAAUCAAUCUCAGAUUUGAUCCUUCACUUUGUUGACUUUAGACCAAAAUCGAAUAGAUUAGGAUCAUGAUUAUGCAGUCAUUCACGGCAGCCCUCAAGGACGUGGUGGCUGCGGCAACCAAGGAGGUCUUGUAACGGCGGCGAUCAGGAAGGUCAUAACGACAUCGAUCAUGACGGUCAUGAUUGCUGAGAUUAGGAGGCUUCGAUGAGGCCGGUUGAUGACGGUCGAGGUCGAUUGACGGUGGCUGAGGUCGGUUGAUGAAGGUUGAAGAAGAAGUUAGAAGUCUCUUUUCUUUUUCAAUGAGCUCGAAGAUUAGGGACAUUGCUCAUAUCCAGGAGGAUAAAAUUUAUCUCACCUAUCUAACAAGAUUUUAAAUGAAGGUCUGACAAGAAAAAAGAUUUCUGGUUGCGUCAUAUCAGGGUGUGCAAACACAACAACUCGUCAGAUAGGAUAUAAUUCAUCCUAUCUGUGUAUUAUAUCAUCGCAAACAAACAGCUCCUAAGUGUAAAACUAUAGGAAAGUGUAAUUUGGAUCCAUACAGUUAGGGUUUAGGGUUUAGGAAUAUAGUAUUUGUCAAAAUAGUUGUCUCUCAACCGAAUAUCUCUACAAUCGAUCAAUUAGAAGUUAAAGGGUAACACUUGAAAAUGUAAUGUGGAUCCAAACUAUAGUGUUUUUAGAUAGGGCUAUACGGUUUACGGUUUAAAGAAAGAAAAAAAGAAAUACAAAGUCAAUCAAAUUUUAUUUUAUAAGUUAGACAAAUAUAUAUACCAAUAAAAUAACAUAUGUGUUGUUAUACAAGUAAAAUGUUAUUAAUAUGAGUAAAUUCACUAAAUUGUCGUUGAGACUCUUAUGAUGUAAGGAUGAUGUUUAUAUUGUAAAUCAUGUCAUUUAAGAAGUUUUAAGUUAUGUGACGACGUUUUUACAUCGUUUAUCAACAAUUGAGCUGAAAGUAGUAAUUAACGUCGAUUUCAUGGUAGUUCUUUGUAUGAGAACCAUUUGAUUCAUAAGUCGACAAAUUGUUGAAAAAGUAGUAAUCAAGCUUGUAUUUGUAGUAAUUUUUCAAUUACAAGUUCGAGAACUAUUUUACCAAUCUGACAACAAAUUGUCGUAAUAGUGAUAAACUGAUGUACAUAUGGUAAAUAAGUUGUUUGUGUAAUAAAGUCUUUUAUCUAGUAAUUAAUACCUUACUUUAUGUAAAUUUUGUUGUGAUUGAGAUAAUUACUUAUAAUACAACGUGUUUUACUAUAAAUUACAACAACUAAGGUAGAACUGGUAAAUAUAGUCGUAUUCUUGAUAUUACUUGGAAUACGAUCAUUUUUACGAAAAUAACGAUAAAUUUAUCUCUAGUGACAACAAAUAUUGUAAAUAUUAAUAAUCAUACAUAAAUUAUCUGAAGUCGUUAAUCUUGUAAAAUAGUUCUUUUUUAUGUAAUUAUGGUCAUUUUUUAAGUAAAUUACACCAUUCCUUAUAUCUUUACUACAAAUACCAUAUUUAACGUAUUUAGUGGUAAACUAAGUAAUUACAACAUUUACGACCCUCAUUACAAGUUUUUGAACAAUUCUAGUAUAACAUAAUUAAAAGGUCCUUAAAAUUGUAAUUUUUUUACACAUAUCAUAAUAUUACUGGACGACAUGUUUACCUGUACAACAAGUUGUUCAUUUAUAUAUAUUAUUUUCAAAUAGUUGAUGCAUAGCAUGCAUCAACUCACCCUAGCAUUCCCCCAUACCUAGAGGCUCUUAUAAAGUUACUGUUGAUCGAUGUGGCCGGCCUGAUUCCAUUCUCAUUAAUUUGCACGUUGUUCAAGUUAACAAAGCACGGCAUGAGCUUUGACGGAAUUAAAAUGCUUAUUGGAACUACGUCGAUCUAUAAUUCAAACAUCCUGGAAAUAAGAAUGAACGUCUAGUAGAAACCUAGAAAUAAAGUUUGGAAGAUGAAAUGAAAAUGGUUUUGAUGUCUAGGUCCAUUUCUUAAUUUUGUGUUGAUAAUCGACUUGUGCUGAAGUUUGGAAUCUGAAAUGAAAAUGGUUUUGAUGUCUAGAUCCAUUUGUUUUGUGUUGAUAAUCGACUUGUGCUGAAGUUUUGGAAUCUGAAAUGAAAAUGUUUUUGAUGUCUAGUACUUUCUGUAUUUUAUGGCAUUGCUGAUUCUGUUUACAAAAAAUUUUUUGUCUGGUUUAAACUUUGAGAGAAAGAGUUGUGAUUUUCUAUUUACAAUAUGGAGUUAGCAUUUAGAUGAAGAGGCCACAGACCAAAAACUCCCAUUUUGGCUGUCUAUAUUUUGUAUAAGUAUUUGAACUAGAGCACAAGAUACGACUGUUAUAACUAUUGCUCCGUUCUAGAGUAGCUUUAACAUGCAGUUGAAAGCCUGAAAUCAAAUGUUAUUGCCUCUGCCCUUUGAUGUAGUUCUAUGCUGUGCUGUUGUAGGUAAGAAUCAGGAUUGCUACUUGUUAGAUAUAAUGUCAAGUGAACUAGGAUCUUUUGCGUCGAUAACUGACUUCGGCUUAAGUUCAGAACUUGAAAUGCAAUCAACAUGUUUCUGAUGUCUAGUUUCUGUGUUGUGUGGCGUUGCUAUUCCUGUUUACAAUUGUUCGUCCAGUUUUAUCUUUGGAGAGAAAGAUUUGAAUGGUAUUCCAUCAAAAUGAAACAGCCACAGAGCUUAUGACAGGUUAUUUUGGCCAACAGCUACGAGGCAUGAGCUUAUGAUGCAGUCUAUUUUCACCGCCAUUAUAGCUUCCUCACUUCCUCAGACACAGAGAUGAUUCUCUAUGUUAAUUAGGGUAAGGGUUAGGUUUGGUAAUGAGUAUGAAUGUGACAGAUACCAAACAGCUACGAGGCAUGAGUCGACAAUGCAGAAGAAUUGCAGGCUCGUCGAUCGGGAGCAAGCAAAUAUGUAAUUUGAUUCAUAUAUAUUGACCAAAAGAGUAUAUAUUCAAUGCCAGAGUCAAUGAAGGUUCAUAAGACAUAUUGCAGACUUGCAGUCAUGCAUAUAUACCUUCCUAGUUUUUAAGGUAAGCAAUUAACCUAAAGUAUAUGUUACAAACUAAUCGGUUUGAUUUUGCAAAUAUACUUGAUGUCACAGAUGACUGAUUACUUCACAGUAUCUCAAACAGGUAUGAAUAUUCGUGUUUGAACUAAUAAAUUUCAAAGAUGCAAAGUGAUCACCACCGGCUUCAAUCCUCUCAUUAUUUCUCAUACAAUGACAUUUCUUGACCAUGAUUUUGGUUCUAGAAUCAAAUAAACUACACGUUGAAAGAAAGACACGUAUUGUUAUAUAAAAUUAGAAGAUGAUUUUGACACCUUAACCAUUUUACUUAAUUAAUUGACUUUGGCCUAUUAUUUUAGAUCUAACAGAAAAGUGAAGCACUUUUAACAUUUUUUUGUUGGAUGUAGAAGUACUUUUUAAUAUUUUAAUAUGUUAUUUUGUUAUUUUACAUUUUUAUUGUGUCAAGUUACCCAAAAAUUUUCUAAAACUUGGCACGUGAAAUGUUUUAACUAUGCAUUACAACAUAAUUGCUAACAGCUUUACACCAAUCAUCUCUUGUUCUUCAACAAAAUGUUAAGUUUCAUACUCCAAUCCAAACAAAAAAGAAAAUAGAACAUACUUGAUCUUUUUGCUCUGUUUAUAGUCGUGCCAUUAUGGAAGCACCUGAUGGCCUUUGACAAAUCUUGGAUAACAACAUGAAAGCGAGAAGGUUAAUUUGGAUCCACAUAGCAGACAGCCAGACACCAUGCCAUUUAAGCAACUAUGAUUCAUCUAAGGUUAAGAAAGGAAAAAUAAUAAGUAUAUUUUUGAUGUACGCUUUUACUACAUCUAAUAAGGUUUGGAUCUGGUAAUAAUAUACCAACUACUUACUUAAUUACUACUCUAAUAGAUCAACAACCCCUUGACAAUUUACAUCGAUUAAUGACUUUCCAUUUUCGUCUACUUAUAUCACUAAUCAUUUCACACUUUAGCUACCUAAACACAGAGUCUAGAACAUGCUUAUGAUUUGUGCUUUCUCUUCUGAUGCUUUUUUCCAUGAGGAUCCAGAAUUAGUGUGCUUGCUAGGAAAAAGCAGCCACCCUAGCUGGGACAGAAAUAUGCACAAAACAAAUAGAAUGAUCUGUAAGUGGAACUAGCUAAGACAAUUUGUUAAAACUAUGACAAAAGUAACCCGUAACAAGCGAUUAAUAGGAAACUUUGAUUUUUCCAAUUCUAUGAAAACACAGUACGUUUUACUGCUACAAGCAAUUAGUUAACUCCAGACGACAGUGAUCCAGUACGCUAAUAUACAUACAUAUUAAGAAGGCCGGAAGCUUCUUAUCGGAAAAGUCGGAUCUUGAGCUGUUUUGGAAAAUCACCGGUGACGAAAACUAUGUCAAAUCUGUCCAAAACAGUAUGUGCAUCAAACUUGAACUGUUCCUUCAUUAAAAUGGGACAUCGAUCGAGAUACAGUUUGUAGUUUAUACUUCAAGAAAUGAAACUAGCUGCUUCAUCCCUGUAAUAUUAAAGGAAAAUCUGCAUUCAUGUUGCUGAUAUGCAUUUAUCUGGAGUUGGCAUCCAAAUAUGUGAUAAGAUUGAUUUGUGGAUCUAAACACAAUCAGCAUUAAGGCUAGAGAGAUUUUAGCUCUACUGAUCUUGUAUAUAAUUAUAGUACUUAGCCUUGUACAGUUGAUAGACUAUUGCAAUUAUACAGAAAUUCAUCUUCACCAUCAUUUUGUUUAUUUAAUGAUUAUAACAAAGAGAAAAACGUAAUGCAAUAUAUGGAGGGUCGUUAUCGAUGGAGACAUGCACGGACGUAAUAGAGUGAUCGAUCAUGGAUGCUCUAGUUCAGAAAAAGAAAAAAAGGACUUGAUGAUUACUUUCAUGACGUUGAUAGUAGGUAUGACCCUCUCAUCUUCAUCCCGUAAAAAAACAAAACAGGAAAAUAGAGAGGAAGAAGAAGAAGUAAUAUGUGAAAUAGAUAGAAGAUGAUCGAGGCGGCCGCAGCCUAACAAACUUUCAAGGGUCGACUCUCUUAGAAUGUUAGUUCAAGGGUAGUAGAGGAAGCUUAUGCAACAUGCAGAGAGUUUAAUUCAAAUAAGAAAAAGAUCGAUCGUAUACUAAUGUAUAUAUAUUUUGCUACAGAUGGAGAUUUUGUUCAUGUACGCCCAAAGAAGAAAGUGUAAUCAAUUUGUUAUGUGAUACUAUAUAUCUUCUAACUAGUCAAUUCAUAGCUAAAAUGAAAAUGACUUGGUUGACCAAUGACAAGUAUAUUGAAUAUUUGCUCUACUUUCAUCUACCAAUCUACAACAUAAAAUCAUGUGUUUAUCAAUCAUUCAUAAAAUAAUACUGCCAUGAAGAUUUUGCCUCAGAACCUUCCAUACUCCAAAAUCUUAAAAACGAAAUCAUGCAAUUAUAUGAAUCUACCGACUAUCCCUUAAAGACAGUAUGGAACGUUAUUAAUUUGUGGGAAGAAAUAAUGCUUUCUAGCUUGUUAUUAUAUUUAAGUGAUCAGUGAUGAAACAACGUGCAUCAGCUCAGGCAAAUAAGUUAAAUCAUGUAAUAAACAAAACAAAAAUGCUUUUCGCAUGAUAGGAAAUUGGAAGAACAUACAUGCAUUCGAUCAGAAUCAAAUAUUCGAUAGAAUGGUGAGAAGAAAAGUAUAACAACAUUUGUGACUAGUAGUUAACCAUAGCAUAAUAUAACCGUUCAUAGAUUAUAAUCUUGAUCAUCAUUCUUGUAGCUCACCCUUUUGUAUUGGAGAGAUAUGAAUUAUAAUGAGGUUUCGAAUAUCCUUAUUAUUUGACUUUGUAAACAUUAGUUAUCUUAAAGAAACUUCUUAAUGUAACUUCUUUCUCUUUAUAAUGAGGUUUCGAAUAUCCUUAUUAUUUGACUUUGUAAACAUUAGUUAUCUUAAAGAAACUUCUUAAUGUAACUUCUUUCUCUUUUUAAACGAUAGAUUAUAAAUAUGUAACCAUUUGGUAAGGUUGAGAUUGAUUAAAUUUGUAAGACUAUAAAUUAAUUAUAAUUAGUUAACUACCAAAUGAUCUGAAAGAUCGAUAUAGAAUUUCUUAUUUAAAAAAAAAAACAAGAAGAAAAAAAAAUACUUCAAGAUCAACAAUAUUCAAAAAGUCCAUUUAAGGUUUGAGAUUGACAUCUUAUUUAUCAUAAACCACAAAAAGUCCAUUUAAGGUUUGAGAUUGACAUCUUAUUUAUCAUAAACCACACUCAUUCAGUCAUUCAUGAAUAAUUUUUCAAUAUAAAGUUAGAGGUGUACGUUUGUCAGCAAAGAGGUGUGCCAAUUUCACCCCAUUUUAUGUAGCUAUACACGGAGCUUGAAGUGGCCAUAGGGUGAUCACCAUAUUACACACGCUAUUAUUAGAUGUGUCUAUCACUACACAUGUAAUACUUGAUUUAGCUAUUUGGACCGAAUUGAUGGUGAUCAACACACUAAUUGUGUGGCACAUCAUGCAUUCUAGCUACUGCUCCUAGCUAACAUAACUCUUCGGUAUUCUGGUCUCAAAUAUGGAAAGAGUUCGAGUUAAGCAUACCACCAUAUAUACAUAUCAUAUGCAAUCUCUAGUGGGAAACCAUUUUCCACCUUGGUUUUGCUCUUGAUUAUGCUUCGAUCAUUUUAUCAAUCCCAACUACUAGCUUGUAAUAAGAGUGAAAUAUAUGUUUUUAAAAAAAAAUUUUAAAUAGUGAAUCAUCACUAACUUAAUUAAUUAACUUACAGAUGCUCUUGUUUCGGUCGGUCACUCUGUUUAAUUUUUCACCUGAAGUGUUGAUUUGAUGGGUUUCCUCUCAGGCUUAAAUGACCCUUAUUCUUAAUUACUCUUGUCAGUCUUGUGUUAGGCGCUUUAAAGCCAACUUGUUGUAAUUUAUUCUGGGUUUAUUUUUCUUCUAAAAAAAACUUAAUUAAUUGAUAAGAUGGCCAGGGGCCCGCCACGGCAUAUAGUGUCAUCUUAUUUUGUUUUGGCAAAUUGUACACAUAAAAUACAACAUAGGGUGGAGAAAACCACAGCUAUAAAGGAGCACGUACGAGUGUGAGUCUCUCCAAAGCUAUAGGGGAAGAUCGAAGAACUCAAAUCGAAGACGCACGUACGCGUCGUCUUAGAAAAUUCAGAACCAGAAAACAUAGUAUCAGCUCAAGAACAGAAAGAACUUGAGCAAUGGGGAGAAGCCCUUGUUGUGCCAAGGAGGGCUUGAACAAAGGUGCGUGGACUGCUCUCGAAGAUAGAGUUCUGUCUGAAUACAUCAAAGUCCAUGGUGAAGGAGGAUGGAGAAAUCUCCCUAAGAAAGCAGGUACUUGAUACAUCAAGCAGAAAAUUAGAGACUUGAGCUAGAUUUUUUUUUUCGGGUUUAAUUUUCUGAGUUGAUUAUAUGCAUGCAUGUCUCUAAUUAGUUUCAUUUGCAAUGUUAUUAUUGAAGGACUGAAACGAUGUGGGAAGAGCUGCAGGCUUAGGUGGUUGAACUAUCUAAGACCAGACAUCAAGAGAGGCAACAUCUCACCUGAUGAAGAAGAGCUCAUCGUCAGGCUUCACAAGCUCCUGGGCAACAGGUAAUUAAUCAAUUACUUGUAUCACUGAUUCUAACAAGCAAAAUCUGGGUUACUAUUAACUAAUUUGCAUAAGCAAACUAAUUUUCUCAUAUAAACUGGGUUAUUGUGAUCAGAUGGUCUCUAAUAGCGGGGAGGCUACCAGGACGAACAGACAAUGAAAUCAAAAACUACUGGAAUACCAAUCUGAGCAAACGAGUUCCAGACCAAGAAGCUCAUUCAUCAUCACCCUCAUCAGCUGGUCAUGGUGAACCAAGAUCCAAUAAGGCCAAGAAUGUUAUGUCCCAUAAUGUGGUAAGAACCAAAGCUGCCAAGUGCACCAAAGUAUUCAUCAACCCACAGUUACCACGCAAAGGGUUGCUCCUUGCUGAUGAUCACAAGCCUGAGGAUUAUCAUCGUCAACAAGCAGUAGUAGAUCAUCAGCCUGAUGGGAAUGGGUUGUCGUCUCCAUCUUUGUUGGAAAACUCUUCUUCAUCAGAUUUCCUGAUGGAUUUCGACAUGAAUUCCGAGCUUUGCUUGGCCAAUCUCCUCGGUUUGGAAUUUUCAAGCGGCGGUGAUAACUUGUUCUCUGAAGAAAUGCAGCUGCAUCAGCAAUAUUGGAGUGAUAAUGUUGGUAGUGGUGAGGAUUGUGUUGCUGAUGAUCAAUUUCAACCAACUACGAUCCUCAAUUUCCAGUCAUUGAAUUCUUUUCUAAAUGCUGAUGCUAACCAAGGAGACUGGCUCGAACUUGCAGAGACUAGUUGAUCAAUAAUUCUCUUAUGACAAAUAGUAACACAAUAGUAUAGCCAGCAGCUAGCUAGAUUAAUUUUCUAUUAUAUAUCCCACCAAUAAUCAUAUAUAUGCAAUCGUGAUCUAUGUAAUAUUGAUUUCAUAUCAAUGAGUUACACUUAUUCUUCCGGGGAUAAAUAAUUAUUUGAUGUUGUAUUAUUAUUCAUCAUGGAAUUAGUAAUAUUAUUUCUCUCAAAUGGUGUAUAUAAUUGGAACAAGAAUCUUGUACGUUGAGCUAUAUUUACACUGACACGACCCACCCCGAAUUUCACCCUGAAACCCAGAGUAAGUCGUGCGGGGACCACCUCCAAGGAAAAUUUACUGAAAAGAUUAAGCAAAUCUCCCUUGCAGAUGGACAACCCUAAGUCGAAAAUUUCAUAUUACACUCUUAAUUUAACGCUUCUGAAUAUCACAUAAUAUACAAAAAUUCUAAAGUAUUCAGAGCUACUAAACACAAGCGGAAGCAAGAAAACACGAGUAGGUUGAACAGGUAACCUACUGAUGAAAACUGGCCGAAAAGCGGGUGACUAUGCCUCGUCUCCUACUAGAUCCAACCCGAAUUCUGUAGACUGGGCAAUUUAAAACGAAGGGCCCAGGGGAAAACAUUUAAUAACGUUAGAGUGAGUGGACAAAAAAUAAAUUAAUAAUUAAAAUAUUUAUGUUUCCCCAAAUUAAUUUCUAAGGAAAAAUCGAAUGCAUGCCGCAAGCGAUAAAACCUUUAUCCCAUAAAAUAUCGAGCCUCUCAGACUCUAUAAUAUAUGUAUGUAUUUACACUUGUCCAUACUCCCUAUAUAAAUUCAUGGGUUUAUAUAGGGCUACUACGCUCGCGUCCAACGCUCACGUCACGCCUUAAUGCGGUGCUACACUACGCCAUCAAGGUGGACAGACGGGUGUAUAAAAUAUGUGCCCAUACCCCCCUAUAUGAAUUAAACACUCAUAUAGGGCUACUACGCUUACGUNN
RNAcentral lists this long non-coding RNA (67007 nucleotides) under Fragaria vesca (wild strawberry). RNAcentral describes it as "long non-coding RNA (FVES_LNC000126)". The record is from RNAcentral. Lineage: Eukaryota; Viridiplantae; Streptophyta; Magnoliopsida; Rosales; Rosaceae.